UCUUUUGGACAUGGUUUGUCCAUUAGAGCUUGGUCCCUUCUUGUAUUAGAAUGGUGUAAAUUCUAAUUUCCAGCCUUUAAACCUGUUGAUUUGGCCAAUAAAUAGCCAAAUCCGUAGGUAUCAGCUUAUAACAAAACAAACAAAUGACAAACAAAAUGAUUUAAAUAAAAGGAAAAGUUAUAUGUUCAAACAAAAGGUAAGAAUCUGACUUCAAAAAACUCAAAACUAGCCCUAAUGGAUAACUUUGCAGGAUUGAAACUCAUAAAACAUUCAGACAUAGAUCAACUUGCUCAUGCUCAAAAUCUAAACUCACAUGUUCAAGAUUCAACUAUAUUCAUAUCAUUAUUGGCUAAAUACUAUCAUAAAAGACAUUCAUUUGCACCAAACAUCAUUUACAUGCAACUGAUUUCACAUUUCUUUAACAACAAACAUUACAUGGGGAGAAUGAAGUUCAGUACCUUGCAUAACAGCAACAAAACAACAAAUAAAGGUGCAAAAACUGGCUGAAACUUUAACAAGAAAGAGCAGCAACAGGACAGGAGCCACAGUAGACCAAAACCCAAGUUUCAGACCCAAAAUCAAACACUUGAACCCAGAAAAUGACCAACUGAACCAAGAAAAUUCUUAUUUUAAACCAUUCCCAACUUGUAAAGAAUCGGAAACAAAAUGAGGAGUUUUGGGGUUUUAAGAUUUCUGAAAAAUAUGAUGUGAUUUCAGGAAUUUUGUGCAGAAUAUUAAAGCUGAAUCCAUAUGAAAAAUCUCUUUCUUUUCAGAAUGAGUGAGCCUAUAUAUAAGCUGCCUUAGGGAAGGUAUCUUUUAAGCAUAUUCCUUAUCCUAGGGAAUAAUAGUACUAUCCUUUUUUACAAUCUUUGGUACAACUGUCCUAUAUUUUAGCAUUGUUUAUAACAGCUAGGACAGCUGUACAUUUUCUAGAAAUUUCUGAUUUUCAGCUUAAGUAAAAAACCCUUUUUACCCUUUAGGUUACUAUUUCUUUCAACUUUAACCGAAACUUUUCCAAUUCAAACAUGUCCCUAAAGUUUCGAAUGGUUUUCAGGUUAGGACCAACACAAACAAACCUAAGGCAAAUAGAAAUCUAAAUCAAAAAUCCCAAAAGAAACAUAAAACUGCCACCUAUAAUUAAAAUCUAAAUUAUACCAUAAAAGAAGAAGUUCUCUAUGCAAAGGAAAAAGGAAAAGAGAUAACAUGAAGGCAAUAAAGGAAAACAAUAGUGGAUAAUUCCAACUCAUGCAAUGCUUAUAAUCAAUCAAAAUAAAUAGACAUGUGAAUGAAGUCUGAAACUACACCUAAACGGGCAACCAGCCAGAAAUGUAAUUAAGGGAAAAGAAAAGAAAUUAAAAAGAAAUCACGGGGGGAAAUAAGUAACCAACAGACUAAAACAUGAUUACUUCCUAAAUGAUAAAAAUGCAGAACAAAAACCUAAACAUGCAUCUAACAAAACUACUAAACAUGCAGAAGACAAACAAGGAUAAAAUUUAAAUGAACAGAAGAAAAGAAGAAGAUUUACCUAAAUUUGUUCCAAAAUUAGGUCAAAUUGGGAACUCGUCCAAAAAUCCUCCGAAAUGGACUUUGACUACCAUUAAUCGACUAUUUUUAAUAAGAGCAGUCGACUAAUGGAGGUUUUAAGUCCAUUCGACCAAACACAGAUCAAGAAGAGAAAAAAGGAAAAUUAGGGUUCUUCCGGAAUCACGAGAUUUAAAAUUCGAAGCACUCAAGGCUGAUUCGCAAGGGGCUAAUGGUGGUUUUGGGUUCAUAUGGGGGUAAGGAUCAUAGGGUGUAAUUUUUGUAAGAUUUGUAAUAACUAGGGUUUUGGUCGUGUCCUUCGAUUUAAGAUUCGAAGAAACCAGCAGUGAUUCGAGGGAAAGGGAUUGGAGAUUUUCAAUGGGGAGGUAAAGGGGAGUUCAUGGUGUUAUUUUGGGGGCGAUUGGACCACCAAAACCACCGUGUGAUUUCAGGUGGUGGUUUACGGUGGAGGCGGCGUGGAAUGUAAGGCGGCUAGGGUUUGGGUGAUUUACAGAGAGAGAUGGAGAGAGAAAGGGUCCAAUUGGGGGGGGGGGGUAUGGUUUUUGGACAGUUUUAUAAUUAUUGAGUUGUGAGUUUCGAGCCGUUGGAUGAUUAAAAUCCAACAACUGUGAUGUGGUUUUACCAAAACGGGGUCGUUUGGGGCAAGGGAAGGCUGGACCGGGUUUGGCAGGGAUUGGGCAAAAUUUGGGCUGAUUUGGGAGAUUAAAAUUUGUCCAAUUUAGAAAAUUAAUAAACUAAAAAUUAAAAGAUAAAAAAUAUAAAAAUGAGCUAUUUUUUGUGAUUUUCAAAUUUUAUAAAACAAAUAAUUACUGACUAAUUCUAAAAAAAUGUAAAACAAAAUCCUAAAUGCGUAUUUUUGGUAUUUUACAUGAUUUAAAUAAAAAUUAAACAUGCAUAGAAAAAUGCAAAUAAUUAAUAAAAUUCUACCAAAAUUCUUCAAAUGACAAAUAAUUAACAGAAAACUUAUUUUCCUUGGGAUUUUAUAGGAGUAUUUCGUCUAGGGAAAAAAUUACAUGCUCAUACCCAAAAUACUAGUAAGUAAAUUUUUAACUUAUUUCUUUCACUCCUUAACUUCUUUUAACAAGAUUUCAUCCUAGAAUCUAGGGUUUUCAUGAUAGAAUUGGGAAUUUUGGGUAAAACGUAAGAAUAUUGGAAUUUGGGGAUUUAGACCUCAAAUUAAGGUCGGAUUCCAAAACCAAUUAUAUGUCCAAGCUCGGGGGUGAAUGAGUAAUCGGGUUUUGGUCUGAAUUUUGGAUUUGGACCAAGCGGGCCCGGGGUCGAUUGUUCGUCUAUAUCCGGAAGAUUGUUCGUCUUCAUGGUGUGCCCGUGUCUAUCAUUUCAGACCGAGGUACAUAGUUUACCUCACAUUUCUGGAGAGGAGUUCAGCGGGAGUUGGGCACACGGGUCGAGUUCAGCACAACAUUUCAUCCUCAGACGAAUAAGCAAUCCGAGCGUACUAUUUAGAUUUUGGAGGAUAUGCUCCGAGAUUGUGUCAUUGACUUUGGAGGCUCGUGAGAUCAGUUUUUUCCUUCAGCGGAGUUUUCCUACAUCAACAGCUACCAGUCGAGCAUCCAGAUGGCUCCUUAUAAGACUUUAUAUGGCAGGCGGUGUCGGUCGCCGAUUGGAUGGUUUGAACCGGGAGAGGCUCACUUGUUAGGUACGAAUCUAGUACAAAGGGCCUUGGACAAGGUCAGGAUCAUUUAGGAUAGGCUUUGUACAACUCAGUCCAGGCAAAAGAGUUAUGCCGACCGUAAGGUUCGUGAUGUGGCAUUCAUGGUCGGCGAGCGGGUGUUGCUUCGAGUGUCACCUAUGAAGGGCGUGAUGAGAUUUGGGAAGAGGGGCAAGCUUAGCCCUAGGUUCAUUUGUCCUUUUGAGAUUCUUGAUCGAGUGGGAGAGGUGGCUUACAGAAUUGCAUUGCCGCCGAGUUUAUCAGUCGUGCAUCUAGUGUUUCACGUGUCCAUGCUUCGGAAAUAUCACAAUGACCUAUCCCAUGUGUUAGACUUCAGCACUGUCCAGUUGGACAAGGACUUGUUCUAUGAGGAGGAGCCGGUAGCAAUUCUAGACUGGCAGGUUCGUCAGUUGAGAUUGAAGAGUUUUCCUUCUGUUCGUGUUCAGUAGAGAGGUCAACCUGUUGAGGUAGUGACCUGGGAGUCCCAGUUCGAUAUGCGGAGCCGAUAUCCCCAUCUUUUCUCUGACUCAGAUACUUCCUUCUUAUGUUCAUUCGAGGGCUAACGGUUGAUUUAGAGAUGGAGAAUGUAAUGACCCAAAAGGUCAUCACUUGUUUUGGAAAUAAAUUCUAUGUUCGGAGGCCUUAAAACCUCCUUUUUGUCUCACCUUGAUUCGCGUGCGCAGUCCGGGCGUGUGUCCAGAAAGUCAUUAUGUGAAAAUCUAUGGAAAAUGAUAAAUUUUGAUUUUAAAAUGAAUUUAAGUUGACUUCGGUCAAUAUUUUGGGUAAACGGACCUGGGCACGUGAUUUGACAGUCCCGAAGGGUCCGUAGGAAAAUAUGGAACUUGGGCGUAUGCCCGGAAUCGAAUUCCGAGAUCCCAAGCCCGAGAAAUGAGUUUUUAAAGAAAAUUAUUUUCUAAAAUUUUAAGAGUUUUUGGAAAUGUGAAUGUAUUGGAAUUUAAUGGUAUCGGGCCCGUAUCUUGGUUCCGGAGCCCGGUACAUGUAUUUUAUGUUAUUUAAGUUGAGCCCGUAAAGUUUGGUAAAAAACAGACUUGAAAUGACGUGAAUCAGACCAUCGGUUGUUAAAAAUGGAACUUAGGAGUUCAUGAGAUUUCCUUUGAUUUUAAUGUUAAAUCCGUUGUUAAAGGUGUUAAUUUGGCGAUUUGAUCGCACAAGUAAGUUCAUAUAUGUUUUCGAGUUAGUAUGCACGUUUGGUUUGGAGCCCCAAGGGCUCGAGUGAGUUUCGAAUAGGUUUCGAGAUGUUUUUACACUUAAGAAAAGUUGCAGGUUCAGAGAAGUUGCAGGUCUCUGAAGCUAGGUCUCGCGGUACGCGGUGUAAUCUUCGCGACCGCGGUGGGAUUCAUGCUGUCCGCGAUGAGCAAAGCCAGGUCUUUGCGGCUGCGCUCGAUUUCUUGCAGUUCGCAGUGGAGCUCCGCAGCCUCAAUCCUUUUUGUGCGGUCCGCGGAGAGGGUUUAAGAGGAGUAUAUUUAAAAAGGAUUUUUAGUUAUUUUUCACUUUUCAAACCCUAAAACAUAAGAGGCGAUUUUCCAAAAACUCUUUAUUCUCCUAAAACACUAGUAAGUCGUUUUUAACUUAUUUCUUUCACUCCUUAACUUCUUUUAACAAGAUUUCAUCCUACAAUAUAGGGUUUUCAUGGUGGAAUUGGAAAUUUUGGGUAAAACCUAAGAAUAUUGGAAUUUGGGGAUUUAGACCUCAAAUCGUGGUCGGAUUCCAAAACCAAUUAUAUGUACGGGUUCGGGGGUGAAUGGGUAAUCGGGUUUGGUUUGAAUUUUGGAUUUGGACCAAGCGGGCCCAGGGUCGAUUUUUUUAACUUUUUGGGAAAAACACUAGAAAACCUAUUUUCAUGUAUUAGGAUUUGUUAUUUAGCAUUUAUUAAUGUUAUUAAGUAAAUUGUGGCUAGAUACGAGCGAGUUGGAAGUGGAACCAAGAGGUAAAGCGGUAGUUGAAGAUUGAUUGUGUUCGUGGCUUUGAGGUAAGUGUUUUGUCUAACUUUAGCUUGAGGGAUUAAGAGUUUAGUCUUAUUUGCUAUGUGUUAAUUGUUGAGUACGACAUAUAGGUAUGGUGAUGAGUAUCUAUACGUUGGUCUCAAGCAUGCCCGUGAGUCUAUACUAUGGUUAAUGUGACUCCAUUUUAUAUUAUUCAUGUUUUAUAUGAUGAUUUCUAUUGAGGAAUAUGAUUUGUGGAGGUAUUAUUGGUAAUUGAACAUUGUAGAGCGUUGGCUCAAGUCGAGAAAUGAAUUGUUAACAUUGUAGAGUGUUGGCUCAAGUUGUGAAUUGAAUUGUGAGGUAAAUGUGGAAAAGAGAAGAGGUUUAUGAUAUUAUCUCCCUUGCCGGGAUGUUAUUGCUUUUGGUAUUAUCUCCCUCAUCGGGACGUUAUUAUUCAUGAUAUUGUUUCCCUUGCCGGGAUAUUGUUAUUGUGCUAUUGUUCCCUUGCCGGGAUUUUAUUGUAAUCUUAUUGAUUCUCGUGACCUUAUUUCUUUGUGAUUGUUGUUUGGGUUAGGAGGAGUGUUAAAGCACAAAGGGUGAUGCCAUGCAUGACAUUUGUGAAAGAGUGUAAAGCACGAAGGGUGAUGCCGUGUAUGAUUUUGAGAGUGUUAAUGCACGAAGGGUGAUGUCGUGCCGCAUGAUGUACAAUUCCGUGCCGAUUUUAUUGAUUUUAUGGUGAGGACGAGAGUAAAAGCACGAAGAGUGAUGUCGUACAGAUUAUAUUGAUUAUUAUGGUGAGAACGAGUGUAAAAGUACGAAUGGUGAUGUCGUGCACUUGUCUUUUAUUUCUGAUUCUCGUUGGUAAUCGAACUUUGGUGAUCCUUAUAUUUAUCUGUUGUUCUUCUGUUAGUUUUUUUUAUGUUCCCCGUAGCAUGUUUCCCCUUUUCCCAUCCUUAACUGUAUAUUUCUGCCUUUAUUUCUGUUGUAUAUGAUUUAACUGCACAAGUUUAUUUGGUAGUCUGAUCCUAGCCUCAUCACUACUUCGCCUAGGUUAGGCUAGGCACUUACCAGCACAUGGGGUCGAUUGUGCUGAUACUACACUCUGCACUGUCUGCAUAUCCCCGUGCCUUAGCUUUUGGACCACAUAGAGGUUGCUACAUUUAGUCCAUUAGGCGACCCGAGGUAGUCCUGCAGGCGUCCGCAGGCUUUGGUGUCUCCUUCUGUCCUUCCAUAAUGUUUCUUUUAUGUAUUUCCGAAAUAACUUUGUAUUUAUCUUUCGGACCCCUAUUUGUAGUAUUCCUAGACGGUCUGUGAAGUUAUAAUACCAGUUCUGGUAGUUUUUAGUUUAUGGAUUUUUAUCGAUUUUAUAUUAAAUGGAUACAUUUCAUUCUUCCCCUUUAUUAUUUCCACUGAUUUUGCAAAUGUUAAUUCAUAACUACUAAAGGAUUUAAAAAUGAAAAAAGUAAAUAAUUGGAAUGGUUGGCUUGCCUAGCUUACACUAGUAGGCGCCAUCAUGACUCCCGAGGGUGGAAAAUUCAGGUCGUGACAAGUUGGUAUCAGAGCUCUAAGUUUCUUAGGUCUCACAAUUCAUAGACAAGCUUAGUAGAGUCUGAGGGAUCGGUACGGAGACGUUUGUAUUUAUCCCCAGAGGCUACAGAGUUAGGAAAAACUUCACAUCUAUUCUUUCCUGUCAUGCAGUUUGGUUUCUCAAUACUGAUUGAUUUCUACUUUGUUCUUUUGCAGAUGGCGAGAACACGCGCUUCCUCAUCCACUGAUCAGCAGCCCGAGUCCCCCAAUAGUAGCUCCCACAAGGGGCAGAGGGCAAAGCCGAGGCCGUGCUAGAGGCUGAGGCAGGGGCAGAGCUCAGCCAAAAACAGCAGCACCAGCGGCGGAGCCUUAGGUUGAGUUUGAUGAUGAGGUUCUGGCCCAAGCAGUUUCAGUGGGCCCAACUCAGGUCCUAGAGGGGUUCAUUGCUACCCAGUACUCUAUGAUGCUUUGGUCCUUUUAGUGGGCCUUAUGGAGAGUGUCACCCGGACAGGCUUACUUCUGGUAGCACCUGCCGUCUCUCAGGCCGGGGGAGGAGCACAGACUCCCACUACCCACACUCCGGAGCAGAUAGUUCCCCAGUUUCAGACUCCAGCAGCUUAGCCAGUUGGAGCAGUUUAGUCGGGUGUGGUAGCUCAGACCGGUGAUGGAGCAGCAAUGUCUGCUGAUUCCUUGUGGAGAUUGGACAUGUUUACCAAGCUCUUCACCACCACUUUCAGCAUUGCAUCUUCUAAGGAUCCCCAGGAUCAUUUAGACAUCUAUCAUGAGGUUCCCAGGAACAUGGGGAUAGUGGAAACCAAUGGGGUCGACUUUGCUACCUUUCGUUUGUCUGGUUCUGCCAAGACUUGGUGGAGAGAUUAUUGUUUGGAUAGGCCAGCUGGAUCACCAACUUUGACUUGGGAUCAGUUUUCUCAGCUAUUUUAGGAUAAGUUUCUUCCUAUCACUCAGAGGGAGAACUAUCGGAGGCAGUUUGAGCAUCUCCAAUAAGGUUCUAUGACUGUUACUCCGUAUUAGACCAGAUUUAUUGACUUGGACUAUCAUGCUCUUCUUAUACUUCCCACUGAGAGAGAGUGAAGAGGUUCAUUGAGGGACUCAUUUAGCCUAUUCGAUUGCAGAUGGCUAAGGAGACGGGGAACAAUUUUUCUUUUCAGGAUGCGGCCAAUGUGGCCAGUAGAGUUGAGAUGGUUCUAUCACGGGAGGGUGGUCAGGGGUAUGACAAGAGGCCUCGCCACUCGGGCAGAUUCAGUGGUGCCUCAUCUGGAGGCAGGGAUUCUUUUGGUAGGGGCCAUCCUCCCAGGCCGUUCCAUUCAGCACUUCAGGCUUCUCACGGUGCUCCAAGUGGUUGUGGUUCUCGUAUGCAGUAUUCUGAUCAGUUGCCAUACAGUGCACCACCAGCUCCUAUCAGUGCACCCUCCACUCUAGAGNNNNNNNNNNNNNNNNNNNNNNNNNNNNNNNNNNNNNNNNNNNNNNNNNNNNNNNNNNGUUAUCACCUUACCAUGCUAUCUUGGACUGUCAUGCCAAGACUGUGACCUUAGCCUUGCCGAGGUUGCCUCGUUUAGAGUGGAGAGGGACUCCUGGUCAUUCUACCCAUAGUGUUAUCUCGUAUAUGAAGGCUCGGCAAAUGGUCGAGAAUGGGUGUUUGGCCUAUUUGGCAUAUGUUCGUGAUUCUAGUGCUGGGGUUCCUUCUAUGGAUUUUGUGCAUGUAGUUCAUGAAUUUCCUGAUGUAUUUCCUUCAGACCUGCUGGGUAUGCCACCUGACAGGGAUAUUAACUUCUACAUUGAUUUGGCUCCGGGCACUCAGCCCAUUUCUAUUCCGCCGUAUCGUAUGGCCCCGCCUUAGUUGAAAGAAUUGAAGGAGCAGUUGCAAGACUUUCUUGAUAAAGUCUUCAUUAGACCUAGUGUCUCGCCUUGGGGUGCACCAGUGUUGUUUUUAAGAAGAAGGACGGAUCGAUGAGGAUGUGUAUAGAUUACUGGCAAUUGAAUAAGGUUACAAUCAAGAAUAAGUAUCUGUUGUCGAGGAUUGAUGAUUUGUUUGAUCAGAUUCAGGGUGCCAAGGUAUUUUCGAAGAUUGACUUGAGAUCUGGCUACCAUCAGCUGAGGAUUAGGGAAUCCAACCUCCCCAAGACAGCUUUCCGCACUCGGUACGAGCAUUAUGAGUUCUUGGCGAUGUCAUUUGGGUUGACCAAUGCCCAAGCAGCUUUUAUGGAUUUGAUGAACCGAGUGUUUAGGCCUUACUUGGAUUCGUUUUUGAUAGUCUUCAUUGAUGAUAUUUUGAUCUAUUCCCGCAGCCGGGAGAAGCAUGAGCAUCAUCUGAAAGUGGUUAUUCAGACUUUGAAAGAUAGUCAGUUGUAUGCUAAGUUUUCGAAGUGUGAGUUCUGGUUGAGUUUGGUUGCAUUCUUGGGUCAUGUAGUUUCAGCAGAGGGUAUUCAGGCAUAUCUCAAGAAGAUAGAGGCAGUCAAGAACUGUCCUAGACCCGCAUCAGCUACAGAGAUUCGGAGUUUCUUGGGUUUGGCAGGCUACUACCGUCACUUUUUGGAGGGGCUUUUGUCUAUUGCAGUCCCGAUGACCAGGUUGACCUAGAAGAGUGCCCAAUUCAGGUGGUGGGACGAGCGUGAGGCGAGCUUUCAGAAGCUCAAGACAGCUUUGACUAUGGCACCGAUGUUGAUUUUGCCCACAGGUUAAGGGCCAUUUAUAGUUUAUUGUGAUGCAUCUCGUAUUGGACUUGGUGUGGUAUUGAUGCAGGAUGGAAAGGUCAUUGCUUAUGCUUUCCGGAAGUUGAAGAUUCAUGAGAAGAACUAUCCAGUCCAUGAUUUGGAGUUAGCAGUCAUUGUUCAUGCAUUGAAGAUCUAGAGGCACGACCUGUAUGGCGUGUCAUGUGAGGUGUUCACGGAUCACAAGAGUCUGCAAUAUUUGUUCAAGCAGAAGGAGCUAAAUUUGAGGCAGAGAAGGUGGUUGGAGCUAUUGAAAGACUAUGAUAUCACCAUCUUAUAUCAUCCGGGGAAGGCCAUUGUUGUGGCGGAUGCUUUGAGUAGGAAGUCAGCCAGUAUGGGUAGUCUUGCGUAUAUUCUGGACGGUGAGACACUGCUUGCUUUGGAUGUUAAAGCUUUGGCCAAUCAAUUCGUGAGGUCGGAUGUUUCUGAGCCCAGCCGGGUGUUGGCUUGCAUAGUUGCUCGUUCUUCUUUAUUGGAGAGUAUUUGAGAUCGGCAGUAUGAUGAUCCUCAUUUGUAUGUCCUUAGGGACACGGUGCAACACGGUGGUGCUAAGUAGGUUACUUUGGGAGAUGAUGGAGCUUUGAGGCUGCAUGGUCGAGUUUGUGUACCUAAUGUGGAUGGGCUUCAAGAGUUGAUUUUAGAGGAGGCCCAUAGUUCCCGGUACUCUAUUCAUUCAAGCGCCGCUAAGAUGUAUCAGGAUUUGCGGCAGCAUUAUUGGUGGAGGAGGAUGAAGAAGGAUAUUGUUGCAUAUGUGGCUCGAUGUUUGAAUUGUUAACAGGUUAAGUACGAUCAUCAGAGACCUGGUGGUUUGUUCCAGAAGAAUGAUAUUCCUGAGUGGAAGUGGGAGCGUAUCACUAUGGACUUCGUUGUUGGACUCCCACGAACUCAGAGGAAAUUCGAUGUAGUGCGAGUUAUUGUUGAUAGGCUGACUAAGUCAGCACAUUUCAUUCCUGUAGCAGUCUCCUAUUCUUCCGAGAAGUUAGCUGAGAUCUAUAUCUGAGAGAUUGUUCAUCUUCAUGAUGUGCCCGUGUCUAUUUCGGAUCGAGGUACGUAGUUUACCUUGCAUUUCUAGAGAGCAGUUUAGCGUGAGUUGGGCACACGAGUUGAGUUGAGCACAGCGUUUCAUCCUCAGACGAACGGGCAGUCUGAGUGUACUAUUUAGAUUUUGGAGGAUAUGCUCCGAGCUUGUGUCAAUGACUUUGGAGGCUCAUAGGAUCAGUUCUUGCCUUUAGCGGAGCUUGCCUACAACAACGGCUACAAGUCGAGUAUCCAAAUGGAUCCUUAUGAGGCUUUAUAUGGUAGGUGGUGUCGGUCGCCGGUUGGAUGGUUUGAGCUGGGAGAGGCUCGGUUGUUGGGUACGGAUCUAGUACAGGAAGCCUUGGAUAAGGUCAGGAUUAAUCAGGAUAGGCUUCGUACAGCUCAGUCUAGGAAAAAGAGUUAUGCUGAUCGUAAGGUUCACGAUGUGGCAUUCAUGGCCGGCGAGCGGGUGUUGCCUAUAAAGGGCGUGAUGAGAUUUGGGAAGAGGGGCAAGCUUAGCCCUAUAUUCAUUGGCCCGUUUGAGAUUCUUGAUCGAGUGGGAGAGGUGGCUUACAGACUUGUGUUGCCGCCGAGCUUAUCAGCCAUGCAUCUAGUGUUUCAUGUGUCUAUGCUUCGGAAGUAUCACGGCUAUCCAUCCCACGUGUUAGACUUCGACAUUGUCCUGUUGGAAAAGGACUUGUCCUAUGAGGAGGAGCCAGUAGCUAUUCUAGACCGGCAGGUUCGUCAGUUGAGAUCGAAGAGUUUUCCUUUUGUUCGUGUUCAAUAGAGAGGUCAACCUGUUGAGGCAGCGACCUGGGAGUCCGAGUCCGAUAUGCAAAGUCGAUAUCCCCAUCUUUUAUCCGACUCAAGUACUUUUUUCUUAUGUCCGUUCGAGGACGAACAAUUAUUUUAAAGGUGGAGAAUGUGAUGACCCAAAAGAUCAUCACUUGUUUUGGAAAUAAAUUCUAUGUUCCGAGGCCUUAAAACCUUCUUUUUGUCUCACCUUGAUUUGCGUGCACAGUGCAGGCGUGUGUCCGAAAAGUCAUUAUGUGAAAAUCUAUGGAAAAUGAUAAAUUUUGCUUUUAAAAUGAAUUUCAUUGACUUUGGUCAAUAUUUUGGGUAAACGGACCCGGACCAGUGAUUUGAAGGUCCCGGAGUGUCCGUAGGAAAAUAUGGGACUUUGGCGUAUGCCCAUAAUUGAAUUCCGAGAUCCCAAGUCCGAGAAAUGAGUUUUUAAAUAAAUUUGUUCUAUGAAAUUUUAAGAGUUUUUGGAAAUGUAGAUGUAUUGGAAUUUGAUGGUAUCGGGCCCGUAUCUUGGUUCCGGAGCCCGGUACAGGUCUCAUAUGUUAUUUAAGUUGAUCCCGUAAAGUUUGGUAAGAAACGGACUUGAAAUGACGUGAAUCGGACCCUCGGUUGUAAAAAAUGGAACUUAAGAGUUCAUGAAGUUUUUCUUUGAUUUUGAUGAUAAAUUCGUUGUUAAAGGUGUUAAUUUGGCGAUUUGAUUGCACGAGUAAGUCCAUACAUGUUUUCGAGUUAGUAUGCGCGUUUGGUUUGGAGCCCCAAGGGCUCGGGUGAGUUUCGGAUAGGUUUCGGGAUAUUUUUACACUUAAGUUGCAGGUUCAGAGAAGUUGCAGGUCUCUAAAGCUCGGUCUUGUGGUCCGCGGUGGAAUCUUCGCGACUGUGGUGGAGUCUUCGCGACCGCGGUGGGAUUUAUGCGGUCCGCGAUGAGCAAGGCUAGGUCUUCGCAGCCGCGCUCGAUUUCUUGUGGUCCGCCAUGGAGCUCCGCGGCCGCAGUGCUUUUUAUGCGGUCCGUGGAGAGGGUUUGAGAGAAGUAUAUUUAAACGGGACUUUAAGUUAUUUUUCACUUUUCAAAACCCUAAAACAUAAGAGGCGAUUUUCCAAACACUCUUUAUUCUCCCAAAACACUAGUAAGUGCUUUUUAACUUAUUUCUUUCACUCCUUAACUUCUUUUAACAAGAUUUCAUCCUAGAAUCUAGGGUUUUCAUGGUGGAAUUGGUAAUUUUGGGUAAAACCUAAGAAUGUUGGAAUUGGGGGAUUUAGACCUCAAAUUGAGGUCGGAUUCCAAAACCAAUUAUAUGUCUGGGCUCGGGGGUGAAUGAGUAAUCGUAUUUUGUUCCUAAUUUUGGAUUUGGACCAAGCGGGCCUAGGGUCGAUUUUUUUAACUUUUUGAGGAAAUAUUGGAAAACUUAUUUUCAUGCAUUAGAAUUGAUUCAUUUAGCAUGUAUUGAUAUUGUUAAGUAAAUUUUGGCUAGAUACAAGCGAAUUGGUGGUGGAAACAAGAUAUAAAGUAGUACUUGAGGCUUGAAUUGUGUUCGCGGCAUCGAGGUAUGUGUUUGGUCUAACCUUCGCUUGAGGGAUUAGGAGUCGUGACUUAUUUGCUAUGUCUUAAUUUUUGAGUACGAUGUAUAUGUAUGGUGACGAGUAUCUAAAUAUUGGUGUCAAGCAUGCUCGUGAGUCUUAUACUAUUAUUAAUGUGACUGUGUUUCAUAUUGUUCAUGCUUUAUGUAUUGAUUUCUAUUGAUGAACAAGACUUGUGAAAGUAUUAUUGGUAAUUGAGCAUUGAAGAGAGUUGUCUAAAGUUGUAAAAUGAUUUGUGGAAGUAUUAAUGGCAGUUCAACAUUUUAGAGUGUUGGCUCAAGUUGUGAAGUAAAUGUGGAAAAGAUAAGAGGUUUAUGAUAUUAUCUCCCUUGUCGGGACGUUAAUAUUCAUGAUAUUGUUUUCCUUUGCCGGGAUAUUGUUGUUAUGCUAUUGUUCCCUUGCUGGGACUUUAUGUAAAUAUUAUUGAUUCCCUUGCGCAAAUUGUUUGUGAUUAUUGCUUGGGUGAGGAAGAGUGUUAAAGCACGAAGGGUGAUGCCGUGUAUGAUUUUGAGAGUGUUAAUGCACGAAGGGUGAUGCUGUACCAAUAUUGUGAGGUAAAAGCAUGAAGGGUGAUGUCAUGUUGCACGAUGUACAAUUCCGUGCCGAUUAUAUUGAUUUAUAUGGUGAGGAAGAGAGUAAAAGCACGAAGGGUGAUGCCGUGCAGAUUUAUUGAUUCUUAUGGUGAGGACGAGAGUAAAAGCACGAAGGGUGAUGCCGUGCACUUGUCUUUCAUUUCUGAUUCUUGUAGGUAAUUGAACUUUGGUGAUCCUUAUAGUUAUCUGUUUGUCCUUCUAUUAUUAUUUGAGGUUCCCCGCAGCAUGUUUUCCCCCUCCCCUUCUUAACUGUACUUUCCUGCUUUUAUUUUCCGUUGCAUAUGAUUUAACUGCACAGGUUUAUUUGGUAGCAUGGUCCUAGCCUUGUCACUACUUCGCCGAGGUUAAGCUAGGCACUUACCAGCACAUGGGGUCGGUUGUGCUGAUACUACACUCCGCACUAUGUGUAGAUCCCGGUGACGCCGCUUUUGGACCAUAGUGAGGGUGCUGUCUUCAGUCCAUUCAGGCGACCCGAGGUAGUCCUGCAGGCGUCCGCAGGCCCUGACGUCUCCUUCUAUCUUUCUAUAUUUUUCCUCUAUGUAUUUCUGAAAUAGCUUGUAUUUACCUUUCGUACUCAUAUUUGUACUACUCUUAGACAGUCUGUGUAACUAUGACACCAAAUUUUGGGUAGAGUUAUACUUAGAUUUUCGCAGUUUGUAUUAAUAUAAAUUAUCAAAUUUCGUCUUCCGUACUAUUUUUAUUAUUAUUAAUUCCACCGCUUUUGUUAUGUUGUUUUGAAAUUGCUAAGAGAUUAAGAAUGAACAUGGUAAAUAAUUGGACUAAUUGGCUUGCCUAGCUUUCACUAGUAGGCGUCAUCACGACUCCCGAGGGUGAAAAAUUCGGGUCGUGACAGAAAGAUGCAAUGAUGAUAGUAAAAUUAAAGACUCGUAUAGGAUGUGUAUCUCCUAUGAGAUUGAGCUUAAGAAAAACUAUAAACUGAGCUUGACUAAACUAAAAAUUGAUCCUAUUCUCCAGGCAGGACCCCUGAACUCAAGAAAAACUAGAGAGUAAAAACUUAAGAAAACUAACAACUGACUCUAUUCUCUAGGCGGGACCCCUGAACUUUAAGAAAAACUAUAGACUAACAAUUAAAGGAAACCAAACACUAACCUUAUUCUCCAGGCGAGACCCCUGACCUAAAGGAAUGCUAAAGAUUGAUAACUUAAGAAAACUAAAACUGAUAACUUAGGAGAAACUUUGAAGUGACCCUAUUUUCCAGGGGGGACCCUGAACUUAAGGAAAGCUAAAGAUUAAUAACUUGAGGAAACUAAAACUGACCCUAUUUUCCAGGCGGGACCCUUGAACUCAAGGAAAACUAAAGAUUAAGAACUUAAGAAAACUAAAAUUGGCAUUAUUCUCCAGGAGGGACCCCUGCAUUCAAGAAAAAAUAAAGAUUAACAACUUAAGAAAACUAAAAGCUGACCCUAUUCUCUAGGCAGGACCCCUGAAAUCAAGUAAAACUAAAGACUAAUAACUUAAGGAAAAUAAAAAUUGACCCUAUUCUCUAGGUGGGACCCCUGAACUAAAGGAAUGCAAAAUAAUGGAAACUUAAGAAAACUAAAACUGACAACUUUGGAGAAACUUAGAAAUGACCCUAUUUUCCAGAGGGGACUUUGAACUUAAGGAAAGCUAAAGAUUAAUAACUUGAGAAAACUAAAACUGACCCUAUUUUCCAGGCGGGACUCCUGAACUUAAGAAAAACUAAAGACUCUUCUGAUUUAGGAGAAUGCUUAGGAGGUAUGGUUCUUUUCAACUAGGAAAAAUGCCUAGGAGGUGAUGGUCUUCUCAACUAGGAGAAUGUCUAUGAGAUAAAAACAUUCUCAAACAGCCUUUGUGCUGACAAAAUUUGGGCACGACACCCGAAAGAUUUAAGCUUCCAAGCUUUGAUUUGGACAUAGUCUUCGUCCCUUUUCAAACAAAGAAAACUUGUGAGUUUAAAACAUGGUGGUUGGUUUGUGGCCUUGACCUUAAGGGCGAUUGCUCCUUCACUUUCGAUGAUAACUUUGAUUUCAACUUGGAAGACUUUGCUUGUUAUUGACUACCCAUUUUUUGUCAACUAUUAUCACAAAAAACACCUCUGAACCGUUCAAGCCCAAUACCAUCUAUCUCUUGCAUUGUUCUCAUGAAUUGACAUUUACCAAACUUUUGAAUUUCACAUGAAUUCCAAAGCACGUCAAUUAACUUGGUGUGCAUACUACUCUUUCCUGACUUAUGCCACUUUGAUGUGCUAGCCAGACUCUGCUUUGUGCAAUUGGAAAACUAAUAGCAAAUUUUAAAUCAUUUCUCACUUGUUCUAACAAAACAGACUAAAAAAGAGGACUUAAACAAAGAAAGAGGAACAUAGUAAGGGGACAAUGGAAAGAGAUGAUGUCUAACAAGAAAAUUACCAAGUAGAAACUUAUCUGACGUGGAUACCAACUCCAAUGACCAUGACAUGUAUUUUGAAUUAAGCGGCCUAAUCUCUCAAACAAGUCUAAUGUUAAACUCUUGUUAUACCUCUAAGCCGCGAAAUUGGGCUUCAAUGCUUCAAUUAUCCUAUCUGAUUCACGAUCCUUAUUCGACUUGUAGUGCCCGAAGGGUUUCACCAUCAAGCCUCUCUCAUUUUGUUCUUUCUCUCAACUCACCGUCGCCUUAUGGUGCCUGUGAAGGAUUUCACCAAUAAAAUUAUCAUUUUGUUCUUUUCUUCUUAUUUUCUCUAGUUCUGCAGAUUACAAGGUAUUAACCAUGGUAAAAAUAUCAUAUGUUCCUGUCAUGUCUAACUUGGCACUUUCAAAGUGUAUCUGGAAAAUCUAUUUUGGGCGGUAAUGUGCCUGUUGAACAGGGUUAGACAGAAAGAAAGGCAUGAAGGCUCAAAUUCGAACUAAGACAAAAUGAGGUAUAACCUUACAACUUUUGGAACCGUCUUUUAUAGAAAACAAAACUCCUGCCCCAGUUUCUUUUGAUGUGAGGAAUUUUUCGAAUAGUCAAAACACCCUCGGAUUCAAGCCUAAGAUUUCCAAAACUUCCGAAUUCCGCAAACAAUCAAAAAGUCUAUCAAACCACCUCCGAAUGACCUGAAAUUUUGCACACACGUUACAAAAUGACACAACGGACCUACUCCAAUCUCUGAAAUUCCAUUCCGACCCCGAUAUAAAAAUUUCCACUACCAACCGGAAAGCGUCAAAUUCUAACUUCGCCAGUUCAAGCCUAAAUCUACCACGGACCUCCAACUUACAUUCCGAUCACGCUCCUGAGUCCCAAAUUACCUAACAAAGGUAUCUGAACCAUCACAUCCAAGCCCUUUUUCACAUAAGUCAACGUCCGGUUGACUUUUCCAACUCAAGCUUACUCAAAAUAGACUAAGUGUCGCAAACCUCUCCAAAACCACUCCGAAGCCAAACCAACUAACCUGAUACCACAUAAUACAGCUGCACAGGACAUAAAGAAGUAGAAAUGGGGAAAACAGAGUAGUAACUCAUGAAACGACCGGCCGAGCCGUUACAUCAUCCCCCUCUUAAACAAACGUUCAUCCUCGAACGAGUCAAGAAACAUACCCGAAACCUCAAAUAGGUGAGGAUAUCUGCUCUGCAUCUCCCGCUCGGUCUCCCAGGUAGCCUUCUCCAUGGGCUGACCUCUCUACUGCACUUUCACUGAAGCUAUAUCCUUUGAUCUCAACUUUCGAACCUGACGCCCCAAAAUAGCCACUGGCUCCACAUCAUAAGUCAAAUCACCAUCCAACUGAACAGUGCUGAAAUCCAAAACAUGGGACGGAUCGCCAAUAUACUUCCGGAGCAUAGAAACAUGAAAUACCAGAUGUACACUCGACAAGGUGGAUGGCAAAGUAAGCUCAUAAGCUACCUCCCCAAUCCCUUGAAGCACCUCAAAAGGCCCAAUGAACCAAGGACUCAAUUUACCAUUCUUCCCAAAUAUCACAACACCCUUCAUGGGUGAAACCUUCAAUAGAACCUUAUCCCCAACCAUGUAGGACACAUCACGGACCUUCCUGGCAGUAUAACUUUUUUGUCUCGACUGUGCUAUACGAAGUCGCUCCUGAAUCACCUUCACCUUGUCCAAAGCGUCCUGCACCAAGUCUGUACCCAAAAGUCGAGGCUCACCCGGCUUAAACCAACCAACUGGAGAUCUACAUUAUCUCCCAUACAAAGCCUCAUAUGGAGUCAUCUGAAUACUCGACUGAUAACUAUUGUUGUAAGAAAACUCUGCAAGUGGUAUAGAUUAAUCCCAUGACCCUCCAAAAUCAAUGACACAAACGUGCAACAUGUCCUCCAAUAUCUUAAUAGUGCGAUCAGACUGCCUGUCCGUCUGAGGGUGAAAAGCUAUGCUCACCUCAACCUGAGUACCCAACUCUCCUUGCACGGCUCUCCAAAACUGCAAAGUAAAUUGAGUACCUCUAUCUGAAAUGAUGGAAACUGGACACAAUGAAAGCGAACAUCUGUCGAAUAUAGAUAUCUGCCAGCCGCUUUGAAGAAUAGGUAAUAUCAUAUGAAUGAAGUGCACGAACUUGGUCAGUCGAUCCAUAAUCACCCAAAUAGCAUCAAACUUCUUCAAGGUUUGAAGGGAUCUAACUACAAAGUCCAUGGUGAUCCGCUCCCACUUCCACUCCGGUAUCAAUCUGCUGAAGCAAGCCACCCGAUCUCUGAUGCUCAUAUUUCACAUGCUGAGAAUUGAGAUACCAAGCUACAAAUUCCACAAUAUCCUUCUUCACUCUUCUUUACCAGUAAUGUUGUCUCAAAUCCUGAUACAUCUUCGCGGCACUCAGAUGGAUGGAAUACCGCGAGCUAUAGGCCUCUACGAAGAUCAACUCCCGAAGCUCAUCCAUAUUGGGCACGCAUAUUCGCCCCUGCAUCCUCAACACCCCAUCAUCACCAAUAGUCACAUCUCUAAAAUCGUCGUGCUGAACUAUGUCCUUAAGGACAAGCAAAUGAGGAUCAUCAUACUGGUGCUCUCUAAUGCGAUCAAAUAAGGAAGACCGAGAAAUCACACAAGCCAAUACCCGACUAGGAUCCGAAAUAUCCAACCUCAUGAACCGAUUGACCAAGGCCUGAACAUCAACUGCAAGAGGUCUCUCCCCAACAGGAAUAAAUGCAAGACUACCCAUACUCACCGCUUUCUUACUCAAGGCAUCGGCCACUACAUUUGCUUUCCCCGGAUGGUACAAGAUAAUGAUAUCAUAGUGCUUUAGCAACUCCAACCAUCUGUGCUGCCUCAAAUUGAUAUCCUUCUAUUUGAACAAGUAUUGGAGGGUACGAUGAUCAGUAAACGCCUCACAAGACACACCAUACAAAUAAUGUCUCCAAAUCUUGAACGCAUGAACAAUGGCAGCACACUCCAAAUAAUGAAUGGGGUAGUUCCUCUCAUGGGGCCUCAACUGACGAGAAGCAUAAACAAUAACUCUACCCUCUUGCAUCAACACACCCAAUACAAACUCUCGAAGCAUCACAAUACACUAAAUAAGAACCUGAAGCUGAUGGCAACACUAACACUGGAGCUAUGGUCAAGGCGGUCUUGAGCUUCUGAAAGCUCGCCUCACACUCAUCCAACCACGUGAAUGGAGCACCCUUCUAAGUCAACUUGGUCAAAGGUUUUGCUAUAGAUGAAAAUCCCUGAAUGAACUAGCAGCAAUAACCCGCCAAACCAAGAAAUCAACGAAUCUCUGUGGCUGAGGACGGUCUGGGCCAACUCUGAACCGCUUCUAUCUUCUUCGAAUCAACCUGAAUAUUGUCACUGGACACCACGUGCCCCAAAAAAGCCACUAAACUGAGCCAAAACUCACAUUUGGAGAACUUUGCAUAAAGUUUCUCCUCCCUCAAUCUCUGCAACACAACCCUGAAAUGCUCUGCGUGGUCCUCCUGACUACAUGAAUAUACCAGAAUAUCAUCAAUGAAAACAAUCACGAACGAGUCGAGAUAGGGCCGAAACACGCUGUUCAUCAAAUGCAUGAAAGCUGCUGGGGCAUUGGUCUGCCCAAAAGACAUCACAAGGAACUCAUAAUGACCAUAUCGGGUCCUGAAAGUUGUUUUAAGAAUAUCUGAAUCCCUGAUCUUCAGCUGGUGAUACCUUGAACAUAGAUCAAUCUUAGAGAACACCCUCACUCCCUGAAGCUGGUCAAAUAAAUCAUCAAUACGAGGCAAAGGAUACUUGUUCUUGAUUGUGACCUUGUUCAACUGCCUGUAAUCAAUGCACAUCCUUAUAGAUCCAUCCUUCUUUUUCACAAAUAGGAUAGACGCACCCCACGGUGACACACUAGGCCGAAUAAACCCCUUAUCAAGGAGUUCCUAAAGUUUCUCCUUCAAUUCUUUCAACUCCGUCGGUGCCAUAGGAUACAGUGGAAUAGAAAUGGGCUGCGUGCCCAGCACCAAAUGAAUACCAAAGUCAAUAUCCCUGUCCGGCGGCAUGCUCGACAGGUCUGCAGGAAACACAUCUAGAAAAUCCCUCACUACAGGAAUAGAAUUAAUACUAGGAGUCUCUGCACUGACAUCCCUCACAAAGGCCAAGUAUGAAAGACAACCAUUCCCAACCAUCUACUGGGCCUUCAUAAAUGAAAUCACCCUACUGGGAUCAUACUCAGUCGAACCUCGCCACUCAAUCCGUGGCAACCCCGGCAUAGCCAACAUCACUGUCUUAGCAUGACAAUCUAAAAUAGCAUGACACGGAGAUAACCAAUCUAUGCCCAAUAUCACGUCAAAACCAACCAUACUAAGCAACAAGAGGUCCACUCGGGUAUCCAAACUCCCAAUAGUUACUACACAUGAUUGAUAUACAUGGUCCACAAUGAUAGUAUCGCCCACCAGAGUAGAUACAUGAACAGAUGAAACAAGAGACUCGCAGGGCAUAUCCAAAUAAUGGGAAAAAUAUGAUGACACAACAUCUGAAGCAAUAGCAUCUGGUCUGGCCGGGAGGCCAUAAAAAUGGGCCUGACCACCACCUAGAGCUGAUUGAGCGGGUAGGGAGGUAAUUGGUGCUGAAGCCGAAAGCUGACUCCUCUACUGGGAUGAACCUCCCAUAAGAUGGGGACAAAACCUCUUGAUAUGACUAAAUCUCCACACUCAAAGCAGCCCCUCGCAGCAAGUGGCGGUGGGGACUAAAGGGAGCCCCACGUACCGAAAUGCCCACUAAAAGAACCAGGCAUAGAUGAACCCUAAACUGAUGGUGCCUGAGUCAAACUCUGACCUAGAAGGGCACUGAGAGACGAGUGACCCUGAUGUGAAUUGUGAGAACAAUGGCUAGAUGACCUACCACGGUGACCUGAAGGGGCUGGCUGAGCAUGUCUAAUGGACGGCCUCUGCCGUGCUGAGACUGACCUCCCGAAGGAAUACCACUGAAGCUACUAGAUCCCUAGGACCUCUUAGCCUCCCUGUCAUCCCGCUCUUGGCAGCGAACUAACUCCAUCUCUCUAGCAAUGUCAAUUACCUUCUCAAAAGAAGUGCCAGAUACUCGCUCUCUAGUCAGAAAAACUUGUAACUGAUAGUUGAGGCACUCAACAAACCUCCUAAUCCUCUCCCUAUCUGUGGGAACUAGCCAGAUAGCAUGAUGGGCCAACUCGGAGAACCUCAUUUCAUAUUGCGAUACGGUCAUAUACCCCUGACGCAGCUGCUCGAACUGCCUGCGCAGCUCCUCUCUGCGGGAAUGCGGUACAUAUUUCUCUAGGAAAAGAAUGGAGAACUGAUGUCAGGUAAGGGGUGGUGCACCAAUAGGCCUACACCUCUCAUAAGCCUCCCACCAAGUGAAGGUAGCUCCAGAAAACUGAAAAGUAGUAAAUGAGACUCCACUAAUAUCCAGAAUACCCGUUGUACGCAACAUCCUCUGACACUUAUCCAAGAAACCCUAGGCCCCUCUGCGCUGCUGAAAGUCGGAGGCUGAAGUCUACCAAACCUCUCCAAUCGACGCUGCUCGUCAUCAGGCAUAAUUGGAACCACAAAAUCCUGAAUAGGUGCAACCGGCUGGGCUGGUGGUGCCUCCUGUGUCUGGAGUCCCUAAACAACCUACUCAGGUGUAUGGGCGGCAAGAGUCUGAGUGCCUCCCCCAGCCUGAGAGGUAGCUACUGUAGUAGGAACUGUGACUGCCUGAGCAAGACUGGUGCACACAGUCAGAAUCUAAGCCAAAGUCUCUUGGAGACUCAGAAUAAGAAUAGGCACAGUCGGUGCCUGAGCUGGUGUUGUUGGAGCAUCCCUCAUUGGAGAAUGAUCAUGAACUGUGGUGGCGGGUGGAUCUGCAAGUGUUGCCCUAGCUACUGUGCAGGACACACCCCUUCCCCUACCACGACCUCGGCCCCAACUUGUGGUACUGGUAGUCAUCCAUCCUGACCAGUAGCACAUGUCCUCACCAUAUGUGAGAGAGUAGAAUAACAGAAGUUUAGUAAGAGGAUCAACAGAUUCGCACGACAAGAAUUCAAGAAUAUGAAGUGUUCAUAGAGGUUUUGCAGCCUCCCGAGGAUAAAUACAAAUGUCUCUGUACCGAUCCGCGAGACUCUACUAAACCUUCUUAUGAAUCGUGAGACCUAUGUAACCUAAGCUCUGAUAUCAACAUGUCACGACCCAAAAUUUAACCAUGUCAUGAUGGCGCCUAUCAUGAUAUUAGGCUGGCCACUUAUUUCCAAAUACUCCAUUUUUCAAAUAAAAACUUAAGAAAAUCAUAAUUUAAUAGAAAUUCAAUAAGAUAAAAGUAGAAAUCAAUAUCCAGCGAUAAGAAAUACAAUCCCGGCCUCGGGUGUCACUAAGUCAUGAGCUAAAACUAUUACAUCUAUUCGAAAUAACAUGACCAACAUGGUCUGAGAAUAUCCAAAUAAAUACACUAAUGGAAGAUAAGGAAAGGAGAAGGCAGAACUGCGGUCGCCAAGCAGCUACCUCGCAAUCUCCAUAGAAAGUCUCCAACUGGUAUGGUCAACAACCGUUGUCGUACCCCGAGAUACCUGGAUCUGCACACAGGGGUGUAGUGAGUAACGUGAGUACACCAGCUCAGUAAGUAACAAGUCCAAACUAUGGACUGACGGUAGUGACGAACCAAACCUCAACAGGUUGCAACAGUGAAUUGUACGGAAAAGUAGACAUGCUUACAGUUCAUGUAUUUUCUCAGUAGUAAUUAAACAUAGUAUGAACGAUAUAGAGUAUAAAGCUCAGGAACCUCUAAGUACCAAUGCACAGAUAGCAUGAUCAAUGUUACGUAUAAUACUUCAAAUCACAAUUUUCAACCACUCGGUAUUGUAUAUGGCCCAUUGGGCCCCGAGAAGAUCCAUCCCGGAAUAUAUAUACAUUACACACUAUAAGUCACCCAGUUCCGAGGAAACAGGCCAAUCUAGCCUCAUGGAGAAGAUCCAUCUUCAUACCAAUACUUCGGACAAGAUCCAUGUCCAGGGAAGAUCCAUCCCUCAAUAUCAUCAACUGCGCUCACUGGGGGUGUAAAGACUCUGGAGGGGCUUCUCUUAGCCCAAGCGCUAUAUCAAUUCCAGCGAAGGCAUGAUCAAUAUCUCGCUGCAACGUGCAGCCCAAUCCCAUACUGUCAAUCAAUAUCAGGCUCUCGGCCUCACUCAGUCAAUACUCUCCAAUGUCAUACACAUGGGCUAAAUUGUCAUGAUACAAGCCCAAACAAUGAUAUGAUAUGUCAAAUAGCAAUAAUCGAGACUGAGGCAUGAUAUAAUAUGCAUGAACAUGACUUAGUAUAGAAUAUAAGUGAAGCAAAUGACAUGACAGCAAGAAACGACCUCUCAGGUCUCAACAAUGUUAGCAUGAAGCCUUAACAUGAUGAUUAGCAUGAUUUGUUGCUCAUUAACUUGAUCACAUAACCACAACACAGAUAUCAGCAAAAAAGAGUCACUAAGCGGUGGCACGAAAUGAUGCAGGCUGCAUUCCUCACGAUGCACACCCACUCGCCCGUCACUUGGCAUUGUGUCACCUCAAUAGUAAUCAUAGAACACAGUUCGGGGUUUAGAACCCUCAGAACCAAGUUUGGAAGCGUUACUUACCUUAAGCCAAGCCAAACUCUAGCCCUCGAUGCCUUUUCCUCUCGAUUCGGCGUCCAAGUGCCCCGAAUCUAACCAAAAUCAGCAUACAACCAUCAAUAUACGCUAAAGGAAUUAAACCCAUAUAAAAUAAUCAAUUUAACUCAAAAAUCCUAAAAUUGGCCAAAUCCGACCCUCGGGACCACAUAUCGGAUUCCGAUAAAAAAUACAAAACUAGAAUCCUCACACUCUCACGAGUUCAUACAUACCAAAUACACCAAUAUUCGACCACAAACGACCUCUUAAAUCCCCAAAUCAAGGUCUCCAAUUCCAUGCCCUAAUCUCCUAACUUUCCUCCUUAAUUUUCCACUAAUACCAUGAUUAAACAAUGAGAAAAUGGCCAUAAACACAAAUAAUAAGGCUUAAGAAGCUUACCCAAUAGAAACCCCUCGAUUUCCUUGAAAUAUCACAGCCCUAGAUCUCUUUCCGUCAUCAAAAAUGGUGAAACUUAGCAAAAUUUCGCGAAGGCAUCUAUUUAUAUGUUCUGACCAGCGAUACCGCAUUUGCGGUCCAAUUCCCGUACCUGCGGGACCACAUCUGCGCAUAACCAACCGCUUCUGCAGUUUUUCAUUUAAUUGCCCUUACUGCACCUGCACUCAAAUAUCCGCACCUGCUCCUUCGCAGGUGCACUCCACUCUCUGCAUCUGUGGCUUCUGCCUUCGCACUUAUGGCUGCAACUGCGGCUUGAUCUCGCUUCUGCGGUUAUCGCACCUGCGGACCCAUAACCGCAUAUGCGGUUAUGACAUCACCCCGAGGCCCCCAGGACGUCAACCAAAAGUAUGAACAAAUCACGUUACACUAUUCAAACUUAUACCAACCUUCAGAACACUCCAAACAACAUCGAAUAGUCAAAACACCCUCGAAUUCAAGCCUAAGAUUCCCAAAACUUCCGAAUUCCGCAAAACGAUCAAAAAGUUUAUCAAACCACCUUCGAAUGGCCUGAAAUUUUGCACACGCGUCACAAAUGACACAACGGACCUACUUCAAUCUCUAGAAUUCCAUUCCGACCCCGAUAUAAAAAAUUUCACUACCAAUCGGAAAGCGCAAAAAUUCCAACUUCACCUAUUCAAGCUUAAAUCUACCACUGACCUCCAAGUUAUAUUCCGAUCACACUCGUAAGUCCCGAAUCACCUAAUGAAGUUAUCUGAAUCAUCAAAAUUCACAUCUGAGCCCUUUUUCACAUAAGUCAACGUCCGGUUGACUUUUCCAACUAAAGCUUAUUCAAAAGAGACUAAUUGUUCCAAACCUCUCCAAAACCACUCAGAACUCGAACCAACUAACUCGAUACCACAUAAUAUAGCUGAACAGGACAUAAAGAAGUAGAAAUAGGGAAAACGGAGCAGUAACUCAUGAAAUGACCGGCCGGAUCGUUACAAAAUCCCAUGUUUAUUUCUUUAGAGACCAAUCUCGCAACUCAAGAUUUUCAACCACUUGAGCUACCAACCGAGCUAUUGAAUUUUUAUUGAUUUAAUUCUUUUGUCAUCAAAAUAUUAGUUGUGAAACCUUAAGCAUUUAUACCUUAAUGAAGCAAUGGAACAGGAAAAUCAAAAGCUCAUUUUAGGCAUGAAGAUUCAUCUAAGAAAAUUAAACCAAACAAUAUGCAAACAGUAAUCAACAGAACAAAACUGAAUAAACAAAUACAACUAAGACACCCCAAAACAGAGGAACAAAACACUAACACAUACGAGCAACAAAUACAAAGAAAAGACUAUUUAAUGAGAUUAUGAAAAUAAACAAAAGCAUGACAUUAAGCGAAUAAAAAGUAGAGGAAAGGGAGAAAUAAACCUCAAAUAAAUCUGAAAUGCAACUAUUUGACAAUUCUGAGGCGCGACGCAAUAGAACCUCAAGCAAGAAUCUCCACAGGAAACUGGAGAACAGGACCUAGAUCGAAAAAUCGGACGAAGACCUCAAACAGGUGCCUCUACCAGAACAGAGAACAACCCCUCCGGCAACUCGAAACUCGUCGAAAAUUCAAAAGUGAAAAAAUGAGCUAAGCACUUUCUUUACAGCGGAAACGCGACAACUUUGGAACUAUUUUGAAGUUGCUCUUACGUGGGUUUCGCGGCUAGAUUUUGCUGAAGUUUGGGGCGAGUUUAAGGACUGUUUUGCGGAUAGAGUUGAGCAGAUUUUUAGCAGCUAUUUCGGGUCAUUCCGGGUGUUGUUUUAGUCCAUUUUUGGAUGGUUCUUGGUGGUUGUUGACAGCUGAAUUUUGGGGCUGACUCUCAUGGGUUUUGAGGCUGGUUUAAAGGCAAUUUUCACCUUCUUUGGAGCUGAGUUUCAGAGCUCAAUUUUGGCAUUGUUUUUGACAGCUUUUCACGGUAAGUUAGAGGUGGGUUUGGGGUGUUCAUAGGUAACUUGAGAUCUGAUAUUAAUGGAUGAAAAUCAGGUGUUAUCAUGGAGGUUUCAUGGUGGAGAUAUGGAAGAAGAAGAAAGUGGAAAACUCCUGAUUUUGGUGUCUGCCGUGGCUCUUUUUUGCACUUUUGCUCUGUUUUUGUUCCCUCUGUUCGUUCCUCCUCUCUAUGUGUGUGCGCGAUCUUAUCUAUUCUUUUGUGAUUGUAGAAGAAGAAAGAAUUUCUUUUUGCUAGCGUGCGGUCCCCACCCCAUAAGAAAAUAUUGUGUCCCUUUUUGUGAGUGGAAUGGACAAAGUCAUAAAUUAUUAUUGUGGUAAUCUCCCAUAAUGCAAAGUAUGAGAAUGAGGAAAAGGAGUUUUGGCUUCUCUUUCUUUGAGGAUAUGGAAGAAAUCCAUUUAAGGAGGUGGACCCCAUUAGAAAAUAAAAAAACCAAUAAUUAUUUAUAUAAGAAAAAUAAAAGAGGACAAAAUGGGCAGGGAAUCACUUGAAUUAAAUUUCAAAGUUGGGCAAAAAUCUGUUUCCCCUAUUUACGUUUCUUUCCUUUUUUUCACUUCAUUUUUCUUCUUUUCUUCUAAUGUUAGAUAAUAAAAUGAAAUAAAAUAAAAACUUCACAAAAAUACUAAUUUAUCUAGGAUAACAGAAAAUAUUAGGCGGAGACAUAGAGUUACUUGUUUAAAUACUACUCAACAUAUACUAAAACCUAUAACUUUAAAACUAAACUAAUUAAAUAUAUAUUUUUAAAAUUUACUUCUUAUCUUUUUGGAAAAAUAAAAUAUCAAUACUAUUUUUUUUUUGUAUUUUUCAGUUCUAUGAAAAGUGAAAUAAACUAAAAUAACUAGAUAAAGUAUCAAUUAGCUUAAAUAAAGGAAAAGAUUUGUAGUUUUCAAUUUUUAUGCUUUAAAAACUUGAAUUAAAAUUAAUAAUAGAAUGAAAUCCUAUAAACUCAAAUAAUUGACAAAAAAUACUAAGACUACUAAAGAUAAUUUUAAUGUGCGGGUCAAAAAUUACGUGCUUACAAAUAGCUUCGUUAUGUCACUUGGAACUUGUGUGCAAACUUUGAGUCCAUUCCGGAUUGAUUUGGUAUGUUUCCGCACAGGUUUCGAAAGCUGAAAGCUCAUUAACUUCAUUGAGACAAUUUUUGAAGCGACUUUCACCAAAUAUAUCGGGGUAAGUGUUCUUUACUCAUUUUUUGUUAUAUUUCAUGAAUCGUUCUUUGGUUUUUGGCAUUUGGUUGAUGAUUUCAAAAGAGAAAUUGGGGAUUUUUUUAUUAAAGAUUCAUAGAGCAAAUUCUUGGAUUUUGAACAUCAAUUCGAAGUCGGAUUUGAGUGAAACUAGUAUGGUUGGACUCUUAAUUGAAUGGGCUGUCGGAUUUUGUGAGUUUUGUCGGGUUCCGAGGUUUGGGCCCAAGUUGGACUUUUGGGAUGAUUUUGGGCUUUUGAUUAUAGAUUUGACUUUUAUUGAUUGGGUUUGGUUCAUUUGGCAUUGUUUGAUUUAUUUGAGUUGCUUUUGGCUAGUUUUGAGUAUUUCGGAGGUCGGUACGCACGAAAUGACAUUUUUGGAGCAUCACUUGGAUUGCUCGGUAUUGAAAUUUGCUUCUUCAAGGUAUGUAACAAUUACAAAACAUGGUGCUGAGGUUAUGAAAACCUGAAUUAUGUGUUAUGUGAUUGGUGUUGAGGUGAAUUAUGUGCUGAGGUUAUGAAAACCUGCGCCGUGUGAAUUGUGACUCCUUAAUUCUUGUGGUACUGUGUAGUUACCUGAUAUUAUCUGUAACCAUGAAAUCUCUACAUACUAGAGCUAUUGAGUUGUGAUCCUUGUUAGAAACCAUGUGUAGGCUACAUGCUUAUUACGUUAGACUCAGUGAGGUCAUAUUGUUGUUGAAUUAUUUGUUUAAAUUGCAAAUUCAUACUCAGUCAUGUUCAUUCAUUUCAUAUCAUAACUCAGUGUCUGUUGUUAUUUUAUUGAUAAAUCAUGUCAUCAUUUUUGGGCUAGUUUCAUGAGAUUGUGAGCCCCAGAGACUAGAGAGUUUGAUGACUGAGUGAGAUCGAGGGCCUGAUUAUGAUAUUAUUGAUACUAUAUCACGUGAGUUAUCCAUGCAACACGUGAGUUAUCCGUGUAGAUUCAGAUAUUGAUACUAUAGCACGUGAGUUGCCCGUGCAGAUUAUAGCGCUUGGGUUGAAGGAUCCCUUUCGAAGUCUGUACACACCCCCAGUGACUGAGGUUGAUUUAUAUUGAGGGAUGGAUCUUCCCUAGGCAUGGAUCUUGCCCGAAGCAUUUAUAUUUGGGGAUAGAUCUUCCUCGGGCUGCGUUGGUCUUAUACAAUACUGAGUGACUGACUGUCACUUGCUAUGUAUACAUUCAGGAUGGAUCUUCCCUGGGCUGGAUUGGCUAUAUACAAUACUGAGUGACUGAGCAUGUCGAGUGGUUGAGCAUGAUGAGUGAAAAGUGUGAGACAGUUAGAUUGAGUACUCUAAGAGUGUGAGUACAUGAAUUUAUCUCUGAGAUACAUUGCAUUUGACAUGCACACUUGGCAUACAUGCAUAGAGAUGUAUUUUCCUCUUGUUGUAUAGUAUCACGACAUUCAUGGCUUCUCACACAUAUUGACAUAUAGGUAUAGAGAUGAUUUUUUCUUAUGUCUUUUAAAAAUGAAACGUUUACAUGCUGAAAGCUUUGGGGAAAAUUACAAUUUUCAAAAUUACUCAUAUUUUUUGUGAUUUUGGUAAAAGUUUUGGGUUUUCACAAAUAUACUUGAAAAGCAGACCUACUUUCUGGAAUUAUGAACGAACUGAGAAAUCUAUCUCUAGUUACUUCUUUUAUUACUUUCAUUAUAUUGCUAUGAACUGUUGUUAGCUAUUGGUGUUGGACUCUGACCUAUGUUUCAGCUCGUCACUACUUUCAAUCUAAGGUUAGGUUUGUUACUUAUUGAGUAUAUGAGGUCGUUUGUACUCAUACUACACUUUUGCACCUUGCGUGUAGAUGUUGGAUGUUGAUGUUGAUGUGUUCAAUGAGAGCUAGAUUUGAAGAUGUACUUGCGUUCCGGUUAUAGAUACCGCUUGUUCAUGGUAGCUCUAGACUUAUGAAAGAUCUGUUCAUGUAUAUUUUAAACAUAUAAUGUACUUUAUUUCAUACCAGCUUUGUAAAAUAUAAAUCUUAGACGCUCAUGAUUUGUACUACCAGUCCUUGGGAACUAUAUAAGAUUUAGAUAUUUUCUUUUACUUAAUUGUCUUAUUAAAAUUUAUUAGAAUUUGAUAGUUGUUAAUUGGCUUACCUAGAGGGUUGGGUUAGGUGCCAUCACGACAAGUUGGAUUUUGGGUCGUGACAAGUUGUUGCCAAAGCUCUAGGUUCACAGGUUCUACAAGUCAUUAGCAAUUGUCUAGUAAAGUCGUGUGAAUUGGUAUGAUGACGUUCAUACCUAUCUUCGAGAGGCUACAAGGCAUUUAGGAUAAACUUCCCAUAUUUCUUUCCUUAUCGUGUUGCAUUUAUUCAUCUUGAAGCUUAACUCUUUGAAUUCCUUCCACGCACUUGUAUGCACAUGUGAGCGCUCGGUAUCAGCUCUACAUCAACGACUUGUGAUCCUUGGUUGAGGUACAAGAUGUGAUUUCUGUGUGCUGAUGAUGGGCCAGUCUGGAGGGCUUGAGGCCAGAUUUUGACUAUAGCUUGAGCACGAAGAUUUCAAUUGUGUGAGCAUGUGAUUUUAGACUUAUAAGUCCGGUAGUGUCCCUAUUAGUGGAAUUUGUGGUUUGAUGAGUGAUUGGAUGGCUAUAUAAUGAGUAUGAUGUGACUGCGGGAUGUGUUCGCAUAGUUUGAAUGUGUUGAGAAGAGUUUGCUUGAGAUGUAAAAGGACCAUUGGGUGCUUGAUUUCUAUCUUGAUAUGACGUAUAGUCUCGAGUCAUGAGUGUAUUGAAUGAUAUUUCAUGUUGCUUAAUUGUGGAACGAAUUAGAUUCUCAUGGGUUUGUUGAUGGGUUUAGACUCGGGAAGAUUAAGUGAUUGCGUAGUAGUUGUGUCUAUGAAGGGGUAUAAAGAGAUGUUAGUUUGAGGCUAAGGAGGUGGGUUAUAACCUGCGAGGUAAUCUACGGAUGUGUUUUCUUAAUGAUGUUGUAUGAAGGCUUUCUUAUCUACCAGUCAGUUAUAUUUGUACGAUUUGAGUUUGGAUCGGUUGUAAUAAUUGACCUGACCAUUAUGAGGAUGAAUUGAGGUAUUAGAUGGUUUGUGUUACAUGAGCUUAUAAAAGAUUUAGUUGAAUCUCACUAUGGUAUUAUGGCUGUAAUGGAGUAUGGUUAUUGUAAGUUAUCAGAUGUUUUAUUCUAUGGCUUUGAGCCAAGUAGGGGAGUCUGCUAUCGACGAGUUUACUAUACGGAUUUGUGUUGUAUUGGUUUCGGUUUGAGGUAUACUUGUGAAUCAGUUAUGACUUGUAGAGGUUGAGAUCGAUGAUGACUCGAGUAAGAGGAUUUCUAAACAUGGGUUGUAUUACACUCUAUGGGUAUAUGAGAAUCAUGGAAUGAUUGAGCAAUGAUUUGUGAAGGAUGUAGUGUAGAUGAAGUAUGAAUUUACUCGGUUAUUUAUAGGUGUGGACUACUUCUUUGGGUGUUAUUGAGCUAAUGGGGCACAGGUCGUUCGUCCCGUUUGGGCGAUGCAAUUGAGAUUUGAGUAGAGUGGAUGACUCUUGAUAAGAUUCUAAGGGAUUCAGGAGUUAUAUGUAGCAAUUGGGAAUUUCCAGGAUUUGUAUAUAGCUAGAUUUGAGAUUUACAUUAGAUGGUGUUGAGACUUGCGGUAUUUCUAUAUCCAUAUGGAUUCUACAUUUCAGUAUUAGGAAGGUGAAUGAAAUGACUUUAGAUUCACAUAAGAUCUCUUCAGAGUGGGUAUCUCGGCUGUGGUACUUUAGGGUACUUAAGAGGGAAUUCAACAGCUUAUGGGCCUUAGGGCGGUGUAGUUCUAUGCUAGAGUUUAUGAGGUGAGUUUUGGUUAAGGAUCGUGGUGUUCUAGAAAGGAGAAAUAUCAAUUUGAAAGCAAUUUGGAAGCGUAGAAAUAGGACAAUUAAUAGUAGAUUGAAUCAGCACCAUAAUGGAUAUGAUCGGUUCUUUGGGUACUUAUGAUGUAGUGAGUUUCUACAGGGUGUUUUGUGGUGAUACUCUUAGAUUUGGUGACUUGCGUGGCUUGGUUGAGCUAGAGAGAUUUAGUUUUGAUGGUUUGGUCAUGUGGAAAUGGGUUACGAAGUGUUCUCAAUGGUUUCUACCACAGUUCGAGGUGUAUAUUUCUUGUCGGACGAGAGAGAGUUACAUGACUUGUUGAUCUUAUGAGUGGUUAACAGUUUUUGCAUGUUUCUUUCAUCAUCGGCAGUGUACAAAGGUUCAGAACAAAAUUUUAGUUGAUAUAGAGUUUUUUACCGAUGUUAAGUUGGUUAUCGAUCAACUAUUAUGGUCGAAAGGUAUUUCUAUGAGUAUUUGAGUUAUGUGGUACGUCAUGCGAAUACAUAUUGGGUUGUGGUUAUGGCUUGAUACAACUUGUUCUGACUUAUACAGUGUGUAGAUGCGAAGUUCGAGACUUAUAGUAAAUUCCAAAUGCUGGAAAUAGGAUUCUGUGGUUUACGGGCUAAGGUUGAAGUAAUGAUCUUCAGUAUGUUGUGUUUUUGGGCCUAUAUGGAAUAGGGUGAUGUGGGAUCACCCCCGGUAUGUGCAUGGUAAGGCUACACGGCGAUUUGAUGGCUUUAGAACGACUCUUGGCAUGUUUGAGGAUGAACCUAUGUUUAAAAGGGGGAGGAUGUGAUGAACCGACCAGUCGCUUUGAACAUUUGCAGUUUGCUCAGUAGUUUGAGGGCGUGAGUAGUUCCGUGUGAUGUAUUAUGACUUAUGUGAAUCAUCGGUUUUGGUUUUCAGGUUAUUCAGAAUCGAUUUGGAAGAAUGAAUUUCAUGAGUUAAGCUUUAAGUUGGAAGAGUUGACCAAAUUUGACCUUUUAGUAUUUGGUCUCGGACUGGAGUUUUGAUGGUUCUGUUAGGUCUGGAUAGUGAUUGGACUUGGGCAUAUACCCGGAUUUACAUUUGGAUGUUUCUAGAAGGUUUCAGCACAAAUUGGCAAAAAUUGGAAAUUGAAGGUUUGGGAAAGUUCAUAAGUUUGAGCGAGAGUUGACUUUGGAGAUAUCGGAUUCGGAUUGUGGUUCCGGGAAUUGGAAUAGCUUUGUUAUGUCACUUGGGACUUAUGUGCAAAAUUUAAGUCCAUUCCGAGUUGAUUUGGUAUGUUUUGGCGCGAGUUUCGGAAGUUAAAAGUUCAUUAACUUCAUUAAGUUAAUUUGAGGUGCGAUUUGUGAUUUUGAUAUUGUUAAGUGAGAUUUGAAACAUUGAGUAUGUCUGGGUUAUGAUUUGGAACUUGCUUGCAAAAUUCGGGGUCGUUCGGAGUAGGUUUGAUAGCAUUCGGACGCUUGGUUGCAAUUCUAGAAGUUCUUGAGUUCUCCUUUCAGAUUUCAUGCAUGUUGAUGUCUAAUUCAUGGUUUCGGGUGUUGUUUUGGUGAUUUGAUCACGCGAGCAAGUUCGCUUAAUAUUUCUAGACUUGUGUGGAUGCUUAGCGUGGAGCCCCGAUGGCUCGAGUGAGUUUUCGGGUGAUUUCAGACCAUUUCUAGGCCAUUUUUAGCUGCUGGUUUUUGGCUACUGGGGUGUACAUUGCGAUCGCGUGGAUUUGGUGCAUUAGCGAAGUGAAAAAUAGGAAAAAUGGAGCUAUGAACCGCGAUCGCAGAAGCCUUCUCACGAUUGCAAAGAAGAAAAUCUUUGCUGCGCUGACCCAACUUUGGAAGCUUAUAUCUUGCAAUCUACAACGAAUUUGGAGAUGAUCCAAAAAUAAAAGUUGUACACCUUUGUGUUUAGUUUUUAGAAAAUCAAACCUUUUGUCAUUUAGAGUUUUGUACAAAAGGUUAUAGCCAAUAUACUACAGGCAAUCUGAGAAGAGUUGGGAAGGGUUAAAUGGAAGUUUGUUCUUAGCGAUCGCGGGGAAAUGGCCACGAUCGCUUAGGGUAAAAAUUGUUCUGCAAAAUUUUAUAACCGCGAUCAUGAUGUUUUUUAUGGUGAUCAUGAAGGGUACCCCUGGAGCGGUGUAUAUAGUACGCUAAUUUGAAGGUUUCAGAUAUUUUCGCAUAUUUUGUGCUAUGGAGCUCGGAUUGAGAUGAUUUUUGAAGCGAUUUUCACCAUAUGGAUUGGGGUAAGUGUUCUCUACUCAAUUUUAGUUAUUUUUCAUAAAUCUAUAUUAAUUUUUUGCAUUGGUUGAUGAUUUCAAAAGAGAACUUGGGGGUUUUUGACUAAAGUUUCAUAGAGUGAAUUAUUGGGUUUUGAUCAUCGAUUCGAAGUCGGAUUUGAGUGAAACUAGUAUGGUUGAACUUGUAAUUGAAUGGGUUAUCUAAUUUUAUGAGUUUUGUCGGGUACUGAGGUGCGGGCUGUAGUUGAACUUUUGGGAUAAUUUUGGGCUUUUGAUUAAAGCUUUGACCUUUAUCGAUUGGGUUUGGUUCCUUUGGCAUUUUUUGAUGUAUUUGAGUUGCUUUGGGCUAGUUUCAAGUCGGUACGCAUGGAAUGGCAUUUUUAGAGCAUCGCUUGGCUUGCUUGAUAUAUAAAUUGGCUUCUUCGAGGUAAGUAACACUUCUAAACUUGGUGCUGACGGUAUGAAAACCCGAAUUACAUGUUAUGUGUUUGGUGUUGAGGUGACGCACAUGCUAGGUGAUGGGCGUGUGGGUGUGUGCCGUGUGAAUUGUGACUCUAUAAUUCCUGUGGUACUAUAUAGUUACUUGAUCUUAUCUGUAAACAUGAAAUCACUACGUACUAGAGCUAUUGAAUUGUGAUCCAUGUUAGAAAUCAUGUUUAGGCUACAUGUUUUUCCGUUGGGACCCACUGAGGCAAUAUUGCUGUUGAAUUAUUUGUUUAAAUUGCAAUUUCUUACUCAACCAUGUUCAUUCAUUUCAUAUUAUAACUUAGUCUCUCUUGUUAUUUAUUAAUACAUCAUAUCAUCAUUUUUGGCCUAGGUUCAUGACAUUGUGAGCCCGAGAGACUGGAGAGUUUGAUGAUUGAGUGAGACUGAGAGCCUGAUUGUGAGGUUAUUGAUACUAUAACACGUGAGUUAUCCAUGUAGAACGUGAGUUGUCUGUGUGGAUCCAGAUAUUGACACUAUGUCAAGUGAGUUAUCCGUGCAACACGUGAGUUGUCCGUGCGAAUUAUAGCGCCUGGACUGAAGAAGCCCCUCUAGAGUCUGUAUACACCCCUGUGAGCGUGGUUGAUUUAUAUUGAGGUAUAGAUCUUCUCUGGGUAUGGAUCUUUCCCAAAGCAUUUAUAUUUGAGGAUGGAUUUUCCCCUGGCUGCGUUGGCCUUAUAUAAUACUAAGAGACUGACUGUCAGUUGCUGCGUAUAUAUUCAGGAUGGAUCUUCCUUGGGCUGGAUUGGCCAUAUACAAUACUUAGUGACUGAGCAUGUCGAGUGAUUGAGCAUGAUGAGUGGAAAGUNNNNNNNNNNNNNNNNNNNNNNNNNNNNNNNNNNNNNNNNNNNNNNNNNNNNNNNNNNNNNNNNNNNNNNNNNNNNNNNNNNNNNNNNNNNNNNNNNNNNNNNNNNNNNNNNNNNNNNNNNNNNNNNNNNNNNNNNNNNNNNNNNAUGCACACUUGGCAUACAUGCAUAGAGAUAUAUUUUCCUCAUGUUGUACGGUAUCACGACAUUCAUGACUUCUCACAUAUAUUGAAAUAUAGGCAUAUAGAUGUAUUCUCCUCAUGUCAUUUAAAAAUGAAACAUUUACAUGUUGAAAGCUUUGGGAAAAAUUAUAGUUUUUAAACUUACUCAAUUUUUGGCGAUUUCGGUACAAGAUUUGGGUUUUUACUUUUUACUGAUAUACUUGAAAAGCAUACCUAUUUUCUGGAACUGAGGACGAGCUGAGAAUUCUAUCUCUAAGUUGCUUCUUUUAUUAAUUUUAUUAUGUUGUUAUGAACUGUUGUUGGCUAUUGGUGUUGGAUUACGACCUAUGUUCUAGCUCAUCACUAUUUUAAACCUAAGGUUAGGUUUGUUACUUAUUGAGUACAUGGAGUCGGUUGUACUCAUGCUAUAUUUCUGCACCUUACGUGCAAAUGUUGGAUAUUGAUGUUGUUGUGUUCGAUGGAAGCUAGAUUUGAAGAUGUACCUGCAUUCCGAUUAUAGUUGCCUCUUGUUCAUGGUAGCUCUAGACUUAUGAAAGAUCUGUUUAUGUAUAUUUCAAACAGAUGAUGUACUUUAUUUCAUACCAGCUUUGUAAAUUCUAAAUCUUAGACGCUCAUGAUUUGUACUACCAGUCCUUGGGAACUGUAUAAAAUUCAGAUAUUUUCUUUUACUUAAUUGUCUUAUUAAAAUUCAUUAGAAUUUGAUAGUUGUUAAUUGGCUUACCUAGCAGGGUGGGUUAGGUGCCAUCACGACAAGGUGGAUUUUUGGUCGUGACAAAAAUCAUUGGAGACUUAAAAUUAUUUGGUGGACCAAUCAAGAGUGGGGAACAAGUCGGAAAAAUUCUAAGAAGUCUUUCCACAAUUUGGCAACCUAAAGUCAUUGCACUGGAAUGCCAGGAUCUUGACAAAAUGUCCUAUGAUGAACAUAGAGGUGAUCUAAUUGUGUUUGAGAAAACACACUUAGACAGGCAAGUUCAACAAGAAAAGAAUAAUACAGUUGCAUUCAAAGCAACUAUGACUGAAUCAAAAAAUAAAGAAGAAGAAGGAGGAGGAGAACAAGAUGAAAACAUAGCUAUGCUAUCCAAAGUUGUAACAAGAAUGAUAAGGAAAAACAAAAACAACAAAAGAGGUAAAUCAAACUUCAGAAAAGGGAAAAUGAACAAUGAUAAUGAUAAAAAUGAUGGAAGAUGCUACGAGUGUGGAAAACAUGGACACAUUCAAGCUGAAUGCCCCGAACUGAAAAAAGAAACUAAGCAGGAACUUUCAAAAGAAGAAGUCCUUUGGACUUGGAGUGAUGAAGAAGAAUCUAAUCAAGAGGGAAUUGCCAAUAUGUGUUUCAUGGCUAUGAAUGAAGAUAGCAAUAAGGACUUAGGUGAACUUAGUCUCAUGGCAGACGAAGGAACAAGUGAGGUACGUCUUCCUACAUGUCCUAACUGUUAUAAACUCCAAGAAUUUAUUGAUAUUACUCUUGCAUAUAUUGAAAGAGUUCUAAAUGAACGUAGAAAAACCAAAAGAGAAAAGAAAGACUGGGCUUUGAAGUUGGAAGUGUGUGAAAUUGAGAGAGAUAUACUUUAAGAUUGCCAUGACCCAAAUCUACCAUGUCGUGAUGGCGCCUAUCGUGGUACUAGGAAAGCCGACAUAUUACCGAAACCAACCAAUAUUCUCAUUCUUAAGAUAAAAUCAAAGCUAUUUAACAAUAAACCUUCAUAAAGUGUUUAAAUCAAAUACCAGUGCGAAAAGAAAAGCCCGACAUCGGGGUGUCACUAGUCAUGAGCAUCUACUAAGAACUAUCCGAUAAUACUAAGACUACUACAAUCUGAAAACCAACUAAUAACAUCUAUAGGAAGAUAAGAGGGAGAAGAGCAGGGCUGCAAUCGCCAUGCAGCUACCUUGAUAACUCUAACAGAUCCGCGACGGAUAAAAAUCACGUCCAGCAACCCCUGGAUCUGCACAAAAGGUAUAGGGAGUAAUGUGAGUACGCUAACUCAGCAAGUAAUAAAGUUAAAUAAAUACUGAGCAAUAGUGACGAGCAAUAAAAUAUAUACAGUUCAUAUCAUGAAAUCUUAGUAGAAUAUAGCAGGCUUUUAAAAUCAGUAUUUUGAAUCAACUCAGCUCAUUUAAAUCCAGUUUCAGUAAAACUAUUUAAAACAUCCUUCAAUAGUUUCAAACGAAGUGAUAAAAAAGUGAGUAAAAAAUGAUGAAAACAUAAUCAGCCCCACGGGCAAAAGCCACUCGUAUACAGCCCCUAGGGCAACAUAAAUUAUAAAUAGCCCCUCGGGCAAACAUCACUGUCACUCUUAUAGAGCCCCUCGGGCAUACCUCACAAUCACUUAUAAAUAGCCCCUCGGGCACAACAUGAAUCAAGAACAACCCCUCUGGAAAAACAUCAUAUCACUCACUCAGGGUGCCCGCGCUCAUUGGGGUGUAUAGACUCUGGAGGGGCUCCUACAUCCCAAGAGCUAUAACAAGCUACCUCGCGUCAUAAAUCAAUUGGCCCUCUGCCUCAUAACAAGCAACCUCGUGGCAUAAAUCAAUCAGGCCCUCGGCCUUACAAAAUCAUGAAUCAACAAAAACAUGUUGCAGCGUGCAGUCCGAUCCCAUAAAUAUCCUCACAAAAUAGGCCCCCGGCCUCACUUAGUCAUAAACCUCUCAAGCCACUCGGGCUAUUAAUAAAACAUAGUGCUCAGCCCAAAAUAACAUUUUAUGCAUCAAAACGGAGUAAUAAAGACUGAGUUAUGAAAUCGGUAAGUAUAACAUGACUGAGUAUAGAUUUUCAAUCAAAAGCAGUGAGAGGAUAGUAAGAAAAAGGCCCCUAAGGGUCCAAUCAGCUCUGACACAUGGCCCAAACAUGGCAUUCAGCACAAUUUACAAAAACACUUUCUAAAACACAUAAGUAUCAUAUAGUUUCAACGAAAUAUGCAACUUAUAGUUGCUAUGGGAUGGAUCAAGUCACAAUCCUCAACGGUGCACACCCACACACCUAUCACCUAGUAUGUGCGUCACCUUAAAGCAGAAAAACAAUAUGAAAUCCGGGGUUUCAUACCCUCAGGAGUAGAUUUACUAUCAUUACUUACCUUAAACAAGCCAAUUCCAUACCGAGCAAGCCAAGCGAUGCUCCAAAAAUGCCAUCUCGCGCGUUCCAAUCUCCAAACAGCUCGAAACUAAACAAAAACAACUCAAAUACAUCAAAUAAUGCUAAAGCAACUAAGCCUAAUCAAAAAAGAUCGAAUCUUUAAUCAAAAGCCCAAAUCGGCCAAAAAGCCCAACACGAGCCCACAUCUCAGAAUCCGACAAAAUAAAUAAAAUUUGAUAACCCAUUCAAUUAUAAGUCCAACCAUACUAGUUUCAUCCAAUUCCGACUCUGAAUCGAUGUUCAAAACUUAAAAUUUUACUUUAUGAGACUUUAGGCAAAGACCCCCAAAUUUCACGUUGGAAUCAUUAAUCAAAUGCCAAAAAUAAAGAUGGAAUCAUAAAAUAAAACUAAAAUCGAGUAUAGAACACUUACCACAAUACAUAUGGUGAAAAUCGCCUCCAAAAUCGCCAAAAUCCGAGCUCCCCAACUCAAAAUAUGACUAAAUGAACAAACUCUUAUUUUAUAUAUUUUUCUGCCAGCUAUUCUGCCUUGUUUCUCAUGCCAAACGAUCCCAAAACUCGCUUUUGAUUCCUCCAAUAGAUUUCUUGUGAAAUUUUAGUCAAGUUAGGCUCUUGAGUCACUCUAUUUGACCUUAUAUUUAAGGAGAUAUGUUGGUUUUAAUAUUUAAAAAUAGUGCAGAUUUUUAAAUACGAAUUCAGUGGCAAUUUCGUAAUUAAUUUGAAAAAAAUCUGGCAACCCUAUUCUUAGUAAAAUGGUCAUAAAAUUCUCAUACAAUGUCCAAAUUCAACGAUUCUUUUUGAAAUGGAUCCGUAAUUACGAUACAUAUCUAAUGCUUUAAUAAAAACAAAAAUCGGAGCUCAUUUUUAAUGUGGUACCAUUUAUGUUUUAAAAACCACGUCGAAACAUCAAAAACGAGUGCAACACAACGCAAACCUAUCCGAAACUCACCCGAGCCCCUUGGGACCCUAUUUGAAUAUACCAACAAGUAUCACAUCAUAACGCGAACCUACUUGAGGACUCAAAACACACAUAACAACAUCGAAAUGACGAAUCACACUUUAAUUCGAAAUUAAUGAACUUCAAACUUCAAACUUCCACAACUGAUACCGAAACCUAUCAAAUCACGUCCGAUUGACCUCAAAUUUUGCACACAAGUCACAUUUGACAUUAUGGACCUGCUCCAACUUCCGAAAAUGGAAUCUGACCCCGAUGUCAAAAAGUCCACUCCCGGUCAAACUUUCCAAAAUUCCAACUUUCGCUAUUUCAAGUCAAAUUCUACUACGGACCUCCAAAUCACAAUCUGGACGCGCUUCUAAGUCCAAAAUCACCCAACGGAGCUAAUGGAACCAUCAAAAAUCCAAUCAGAGGUCAAAUUCUAAAAAGUCAAAACUUGGUCAAACCUUUCAAAUUUAAAGGUUCUAGCUGAGAAUCAUUCUUCCAAAUCAAUUCCGAAUAAUCUGAAAACCAAAAUCGACAAUUCACAUAAGUCAUAAUACUUCAUACGGAGCUACUCAUGCCCUCAAACAAUCAAGCGAAGUGCAAUUAAUUGCUCAAAAUGACCGGUCGGGUCAUUACAUCCUCCCCCACUUAAACAUGUGUUCGUCCUCGAACGUGCCUAGAGUUGCUCCAAAAGCCAUCAACGCAUAGUAUAAUCUAACUAUGCACAUACCCGGGGGUGAUCCCAUGUCACCCUAUCCCAUAUAGGUCUGAUAACACAACAUGACUGAAAUUUCUUAAUCCAACCUAGUCUAUAUGUCUUAGGGCCCAAUUUCCAACAUCCGAAAUUUUCUAUAAGAUCAGAACCUCGCAUCUACACACUGUAUAAAGUCUAAACAAGCUGCAUCAAAUCAUAUCUGUAACCUAAGAUGUAAUCACAUUAUAUACCACAUAACUCAAACACUCAUGGUGAUAACUCCUAAUCACAGUAGCUGCUCAAAACAACCCAAUACAGGUAAUACACCUCUUAACAAACGAAGCCUCAUUCAAACACAUUCAUAUACUUCCAAUGAUGAAAGAAACACGCAGAAACUCAUAACCAUUUUAUAAGAUCAACACGUCAUAGAGCUCCUUCUUAUUCGACAUGAACUAUAGCAGAUUUUUAAGUUGAUUUCCGAUAUUAUCCUUCCAACCAUAUUGUAACCAAUCUAAUUGUAUUCAUUCUAGGUCUAAUGACCUCAUCUCAUCCAACACAACCACCCUGAUGACAUGACACAUCAAUACAAUCCAAAGUCAUAACAUGCGCAAUUCGUGCACACAAUAGCAACAUCCUAAAUGUACUCAAGUGUCAGGUCGAAUUUUGAAAGUUUAAAGGCUUAAUGAAUUAAAGGGUUGAAUAAAGGAAGAAGGUGAAUAGUAAUUCUGUUACUAUUCACGAGCCAUAACUCCGGAAUCCGGCGGUGGAUUAUCGCAAAUUUGGUAUCAAAAGAAACAUCUACUCAUCGCGCACAAUCCCCAAUUGGUUUCAUAGUCAAAAUCAUAGGCAAUUUUUCCAGAUCUUAGUUUUAAAGAACGAGUUACUGUAGCACGCAGAAUUUUCAGCUUCUCCUUCACGUAAAUGGAGUUUUGAAGAUCAUCAUGACUGCUGCGACCUCUCCCCAGUCUUUGGCUGUGGGAGAGGCAAUCCAAAACACCAUAGAAACUCAUCCAAAUCCUAAUAUCAAACAGUCCUAUGCAUCGCAACUACUGUCAAAACAAUCUGCCGCAAAAAUCGCAAAACUGGAACUUUGUCCUGUUACAUUUGAGCAUGGAAUACCUACUAUAGAAUUCACCAUAGAUGAAGUGAAUGCAUUCACCAUGGAAGAAGGUCUUCAUCAAGCAGUCAUACUGAAAUUUUCGUAUGGAAAACCUGAGCUUCAUGAGCUGCGUCAAGUUCUGCCAGAACAGUUCGAUAUUAAAGGCAAUUGUAAUAUUGGACAACUGGAAUUUCGACAUGUACUAGUAAGACUUGAUUUGUUUGAUUAUUUUGUUCAAGUAUUAUCAAGAUCAACAAGCUAUGUUAAGUCGAAAGGCACUGGGUUCUUUUUUAGAACUUUUCCAUGGACGAUUGGAUUUAAUCCAAGAGAAGAGACGUCUAAAGCAGUUGUGUGAAUUUCUCUACCUGAACUGCCUGCAAAUUUCUUUGCAAGGAAGUCAUUGAUGUCCAUAGCUUCAGCUGUUGGAAAACCUCUAGUUGUGGAUAAAGCUACUCAAGAUAGAACGCGACCAAGUACGACAAGGGUAAAAGUCUUGCUUGAUCUGUUGGAUAAGCAUCCCAAGAAAGUUAAGAUUCAUAUUGUUGAUUAUAAAUCUGGGAAACUAGUGGAACAUUAUCAAGAUAUUAAAUAUGAUAAUCUCCCAAAAUUCUAUACUUGUUGUAAACACCAGGGACAUGAUGAAAAAUCUUGUCGUUGGAGUAUCGAGAAUAAUCAGGGAGAGGUUGAAGUUGUGGAUGAAAGAGAAGGUCUGGGCAGCUUGGAUAAAUUGCAAGGUGAUGCUAGAGCCUAUCUAAAUGCAAAAAGAUCUGGGCAUUUGGAAGGGGAAACAACAAAGGAAAGAUUGGUCGAGCAGCAGGAUUCACAAAGUGAAAAGGAAAUACAAAGUGCUCUUCAGAAUAAAGAGAAUGCAACAAAUCGAGUUGUUAAUGAUAACAUUGUUGGUGAUGUUUCACAGGUUCAUAAGGGUCCAGCUCUACCCUCUCGUGAUGUGCCUACUAGGAUUGCCCUAGCAAGGAUUGCCAAUGCUGUCAAUCCAGUAGUGCAAGCGUAUGAUAAACUUACAACUGUUGCAGCUCUUAUGGUAACUGCUGCAGGUUCUAAAAGGACUGUUGAGUUUGCUGAUAAAGAUACAACUGGCCAGGAUCAUUUUGGUCAUAAUGGUGAAAGUGUGGAACAACAGGGAAAGAAAAAAGGGUUGGAACCUGUAACUGAUUUAAGACCAAAAGGUGAUCGAGCUGAGAUUUCUGUACCUGGAAAACACUCAGCUAUUGUGGUGUCAAAUUCGGAACCUACUGUUCCAUUGACUGCUACUAUUGAUCGACCUGCCAAGGUAGGUUCAACUGAUGCCUCUAGGAUUGUUGGUGUGCAGGAUGGUAAUGCUACAAUCACAUCAGUGUUUGAUGGAAAAGGGCAGCUACAUGUGAAUCAAACUAAAUGUGACAAGCUAACUAAAGUGGAUCGAGCAGCAGUUAGUGAUACUGUAAAAUAUGCAAAUGAUUUUCAAGCUACUACAACAUUGUCAAGGUUACAUAUGGAUGUGAAUGCACUCUUACAAACUCUUACAACUGAAUCUGGCCAACUGAUAGAUGAUAGGGCAUUAGCUGCAAUUGUUUGAGCUUUUGUUGCCAAAAAUAAUGCAGCAGUACCAGAGAGAUGGGGGGCUACUGUUGUAUUGAAGGGAGAUGGGGAUCGAGAAGCUGCUGGGUUUGCUGAACCUAAUGCUACUCAACCGACCAAUAACGUGAAUAAUGCAACAAAUGUGUUUGUGGGAAAUGAGGAAUCUGAAAUGAAAGUUGCUACUGUAUGCUCGAAUUUGGAGGAAACUGUUACAUUGGGUGCAAGUGUUGAUCUAGCUAAUGCUAAGAACUAUAAAUCAAGUGCUGCAGUAGUUGAUUCAAUUGAAAAACAAGGAAGAGAGGAGCACCAAAGAGGUCAGAGGACUGGGCUACAACCAGCUGCACAAACACUUGCAGAUGAUCAGCAGAAAAAUGCAGCGCAAAUCACUGACAAAAUAGUUUCUGCCCAAUUUUCUGGGAAUGAAAACAUUGGGACUACGAGCAUUUUGAUGGAAAAUAAGAAUGGGAAUCUGAAUUCUACUCUGCAUUUUUCCAACCCUCAAGUAGAACAAAUCAUUAAGGAUGCUCAGAAUGAGAUGAUGAUGAAGGAUAUUAUGUUCAAACAACCGUUAGUUACGCUGAACAAAUCUGUAUAUGAUGUCCCCUCGCAAUCAGUGGAAUCCUGUGGUGAGUUUGAAGGGGAAUUUGGGCAGCUCAUGUUAUCAACUAGAAAUAACAACGAGUUAAUACAAGCAAAUGUGAGAAACAUGGUUGUUAAAGCUAAUUUAUGGAAAGAGCAACGUAAGGAAGACGAUGAAGAGGACUUGGGCGAUGGAUUUGCUGGCUACUCUUCUGAAGAACGAGAGUAGGAGGUGGAUCAGUAUAGUGCAGGGGAGAAGUUUGAUCCUCCAGUGAAGCAAAAGAAAUUAAACUUUCAAGCUCCUGCAUUUCCAAGAAACACUCCUACUGUUGGUACUACAAAUUCAGAAUCUGGAAGGGCAGUACAAGCUGCAAAAACAUCUCUCAAGCAGGCGACUCAAGCUAUUUCAACUCAAAUGGUAAUAACUCCUACGAAGACUGUGCAGCAGCAGCGAAAGGAUCCAAAUAUUUUAACUAGCAAUCAUCCUGGUGAUAGUAAAAUAGUAACAGUUACAACGACUGGGCAGAAACAGCAACAUACAACAACUGCAGCUGAUGUUAAUACUAAUCCUGGGCAGCAACAGUCCAAUGCAAACACGACUGGGCAGAAGCAGUCCAAUGCAAACAAGACUGGGCAGCAGCAGUCUAAUGCGAACAUGACUGGAGCUGUAGUAAUGGUAACUGAUAUAACUGCAAUUUCGUUGGAGGACAGAAAGUUGCUGGAUGCUUUAGGCAGUCCAAAACCACACAAAAGUGCAUACUCAUCAUUCUCAAAAAUGAUCGGACUGAAGCUAAAAUUUUCAGUGACAAACGUAUAAACCAUGUAGUGCAAAGACACUGAAGAGGCAUGAACCAUUGUGGAUGGUUAUACAAGAUGAAGCUAAUCAAAAACUUGAGGCCAACUUACGCGCUGCCAUCUCCAAAGAAGCAAAAGAGGAUGACUUGAUUNNNNNNNNNNNNNNNNNNNNNNNNNNNNNNNNNNNNNNNNNNNNNNNNNNNNNNNNNNNNNNNNNNNNNNNNNNNNNNNNNNNNNNNNNNNNNNNNNNNNNNNNNNNNNNNNNNNNNNNNNNNNNNNNNNNNNNNNNNNNNNNNNNNNNNNNNNNNNNNNNNNNNNNNNNNNNNNNNNNNNNNNNNNNNNNNNNNNNNNNNNNNNNNNNNNNNNNNNNNNNNNNNNNNNNNNNNNNNNNNNNNNNNNNNNNNNNNNNNNNNNNNNNNNNNNNNNNNNNNNNNNNNNNNNNNNNNNNNNNNNNNNNNNNNNNNNNNNNNNNNNNNNNNNNNNNNNNNNNNNNNNNNNNNNNNNNNNNNNNNNNNNNNNNNNNNNNNNNNNNNNNNNNNNNNNNNNNNNNNNNNNNNNNNNNNNNNNNNNNNNNNNNNNNNNNNNNNNNNNNNNNNNNNNNNNNNNNNNNNNNNNNNNNNNNNNNNNNNNNNNNNNNNNNNNNNNNNNNNNNNNNNNNNNNNNNUGUACUCAAAUCAUGAAAAAUGACUCAAACGAGAGGACUGUCCUACAAUCUUAACAAGUACUGCCAAAACGAAAUACUGAAAAUCCAUCACACCCGGUAGGACCAUUACACGAAUCUAACACAAAGGUGCCCCAUCCAAAUAAUAAUCCAUGGCAUAUACCUCAAGCCACCUUGCUCAAAAUCAAUAACCACGUGAUUCGACAUCAAGUACUCAAAGUGUAUUACUAUAACCACGGAGAAGCAAAUGACAUAACGCCACACAAAACCCGAAUGAGCAUAACCAAUAUGCCAUCCACCAAGCAAUACCCAAUACUUUUCCCGCUCAAAUUUCGCUAUAAGAUUCCAAUAGAACUGCACCAUAUGUGCAUAUAACCAACAAAUCAUAACCCCUCGUAACACAGAAGCGUAGCUCGUAGAUCACUCCAAAACACGAAUAAGCUCAACAACAAUCGAAUGGCACAUCCUUCAACAAUAGCAGUUCGGAGUCAACAAAUCCAACCCGGUGCAGAACACACCUCCAUAUUGGGCGUACCAAUGAACCCCAAAUCAGCUUUGGUCCCCCACGAUAGAUAAAUAACCCUUCGAAAGUCUACAAUAACUGAAUCAUAACACAUACUAACCUCUGACUAACCUUGGCUACUUUUUACAGUCCAAAACCACGAAAUAAUCUACUCACGAGAAUUCCUAUUCUCCAAAUCCAUAGAACAUAUAAAUCACCAUAUCUGAUCUCAAAUCCACCGUUUGAAGGCCCAUACUUCUCCAAUUACACAUUCACCCCACGAGGAAUACUUCUAAAAUUCUUUUAUGCCACAAAGCAAAAUUUGAACUCCAACAGUCAAUCAAACAAGAAAGUGCUGCAAUACCAAUGAAGUAUCCAUAACUCCCACACAUCGCCCUUUCUAAGAUGUAUACUCUCAUCAAGCCAUACCAGUUAGUAAUAUCAUUUACCUAGUCAUCUGAAAUUGUCCAUGCUGCAUAACAAUUUAUGACCUUCUUUUUAGAGCUGAACCGUGACCUUACACAUGCAAAUCUCAACCCUACACAACAUGUCGCAUUGUCACGACCCUGAAACUUGACCCUAUCGUUAAGACAAGGCCAGCCGACACUUUCCCAUUUCAGUUUUAAGCAGUUAAACAUUAAGAAUUAAGUCUAAAACGUAAUAAAUAAUUCAAAAGUAAGCAAUGAACAUUACAGUUUGCGGAAAUAAAACCCAACACAGCCCGAUACCGGGGUGUCACUAGUCAUGAGCAUCUAUCAAUUCUAAUACAAGUAUGAAAAGUCUACGAAACUAUUACAAAGUCACUAAUAAGGGAAAAGAAAUGAGAUGGGGGGGGAGAAAAAUGAGACUAUGGACGCCAAGCAGCUGCCUCGUGAACUUCGAAAUCUAUCGGGACCUCUCAACUCUCGCUAGCAGGAUCAGCAAUGCCUGUAUCUGCACACGGGGUGCAGGGAGUAAAGUGAGUACUCCAACUCAGUGAGUAAUAAUCAUAAAUAAAGACUAAAAGCAAGAAAUCACGUAAGGCACAUUAUAGGCUAUAAGGAAGCAGUAAAGAUGUGUAAAAUUACUGAGUUCANNNNNNNNNNNNNNNNNNNNNNNNNNNNNNNNNNNNNNNNNNNNNNNNNNNNNNNNNNNNNNNNNNNNNNNNNNNNNNNNNNNNNNNNNNNNNNNNNNNNNNNNNNNNNNNNNNNNNNNNNNNNNNNNNNNNNNNNNNNNNNNNNNNNNNNNNNNNNNNNNNNNNNNNNNNNNNNNNNNNNNNNNNNNNNNNNNNNNNNNNNNNNNNNNNNNNNNNNNNNNNNNNNNNNNNNNNNNNNNNNNNNNNNNNNNNNNNNNNNNNNNNNNNNNNNNNNNNNNNNNNNNNNNNNNNNNNNNNNNNNNNNNNNNNNNNNNNNNNNNNNNNNNNNNNNNNNNNNNNNNNNNNNNNNNNNNNNNNNNNNNNNNNNNNNNNNNNNNNNNNNNNNNNNNNNNNNNNNNNNNNNNNNNNNNNNNNNNNNNNNNNNNNNNNNNNNNNNNNNNNNNNNNNNNNNNNNNNNNNNNNNNNNNNNNNNNNNNNNNNNNNNNNNNNNNNNNNNNNNNNNNNNNNNNNNNNNNNNNNNNNNNNNNNNNNNNNNNNNNNNNNNNNNNNNNNNNNNNNNNNNNNNNNNNNNNNNNNNNNNNNNNNNNNNNNNNNNNNNNNNNNNNNNNNNNNNNNNNNNNNNNNNNNNNNNNNNNNNNNNNNNNNNNNNNNNNNNNNNNNNNNNNNNNNNNNNNNNNNNNNNNNNNNNNNNNNNNNNNNNNNNNNNNNNNNNNNNNNNNNNNNNNNNNNNNNNNNNNNNNNNNNNNNNNNNNNNNNNNNNNNNNNNNNNNNNNNNNNNNNNNNNNNNNNNNNNNNNNNNNNNNNNNNNNNNNNNNNNNNNNNNNNNNNNNNNNNNNNNNNNNNNNNNNNNNNNNNNNNNNNNNNNNNNNNNNNNNNNNNNNNNNNNNNNNNNNNNNNNNNNNNNNNNNNNNNNNNNNNNNNNNNNNNNNNNNNNNNNNNNNNNNNNNNNNNNNNNNNNNNNNNNNNNNNNNNNNNNNNNNNNNNNNNNNNNNNNNAGUACUCCAACUCAGUGAGUAAUAAUCAUAAUAAAGACUAAAAGCAAGAAAUCACGUAAGGCACAUUAUAGGCUAUAAGGAAGCAGUAAAGAUGUGUAAAAUUACUGAGUUCAGUUUAAAACUUCAUAAAAUGCCUUUUUAACAGUUAAGCAAGCAAAUGACAGGCAAAUAGGAAAGAUAAACACAUAAUGGAUUGCCCUUCGGGAAAGAUCAUAGAACAACACUAGCCCCUCGGGCUAUUUCUCACAUCACACUGGGUACCUGCGCUCACUGGGGGUGUGCAGACUCCUAGAGGGGCCCCUUACGGCCCAAGAGCAAUAUCAAGCCAUCUUGUGGCAUUAUUACUAGGCUCUCGUGCCAUACAAAUCUCAGGUCCUCGGCCUCAUAAUAAUAAUCAGAUGUUCCUCACAACAUAGGCCCUCGACCUUACUCAGUCAGAAACUCAAAAGCCAUUUGGGCAAUAGUAAAACAUGAUGCUCUGCCUAAAAUAUCAUUUUGAAUGUCAUUUUAAGUGUUAAAGUAGAGUAAACAUGGCUGAGUUUUGGAAAUAGUAGAAUAUAGCAUGAUUGAGUUCAAGUACAAAAUCAAAACAGUGAGGAAAUAUCAAUUAAAAUCCCUUAAGGGUUCAAAUAAUUGGCACCAAGUCCAACUAUGGCGUUCAGCCCAAAACAUGAUGAUAGCAAAUAGUUUUCAGUCAAAUACGCGGUAAAAUAGUCAUUCGGGAUGGACUAAGUCACAAUCCCCAACAGUGUACGACCGCACGUUUGUCAUCUAGCGUGUGCGUCACCUCAAUAUAGCACAACGAUGUACAAUCCGGGGUUUCAUACCCUCAGAACAUCAUUUACAAUCAUUACUCACCUCAAUCCGGUCCAAACUCUAGCCCGCGAUGCCUUUGCCCCUCGAAUCGGCCUCCACUCGUGUCGAAUCUAUCCAAAAUCAGAAUCACGGUGUCAAAAUAUGCUAAGGGAACGAAGCUCAAGCGAAAAUACUCAAUUUACAACUUAAAUCCCGAAAUUAUCAAAAUUCGACCCCCGGGCUCACAUCUCGAAAUUCGAUAAAAUUCACAUCAAUGGAUUCCUUAUCUCCCCCACGAGUUCAUACAUAUCAAAAAGUACCAAAAUCCGACCACAAAUGGUCCCUCAAAUCCUCAAGUCUAGGUCUCCAAUACCAAGCCCUAGUUUCCCCAAUUUUUAACCCUUAAAUUCCAUUAAUUAUAGCUCUAAUCCAUGAUAUAAUUAGGUCCAAAAUCGCCCUAAACUCCAGAAUUCGUAUUAAAAAAUGGUGAAACCCUCUGAAAAUUGUGAAGGAAGGAAUAUAUACAUUCUGACCUAGGCAUUUUCGCACUUGCGGUCUAUCCACCGCAUCUGCGGUACCGCUUUUGCGGUCCAAGAGCCGCUUCUGCGGUUAUUCACUUAUUCCCCAACUUCCGCAUCUGCGAUGAACAGUCCGCACCUAUGCCACCGCAGGUGCGGUCCCACAACCGCUUCUGCGGUUCCUGCAAACUUCACCAUCUUCCGAUUCUCUAACAAAUCUUCCACAUUUGCGGUGUCACACCUGCGGUCCCCAAUCCGCAGGUGCGGAAACAACAGAAGCAGCAAAAAUCUGCAGCUCCUUCAAACUCCCAAACUCUUUGUCAACCAUCUGAAAUCACCCUGAUGCACCCGGGACCCCAACCAAAAACACAAACAUACCCCAUAACCUUAUUCAAACUUAUAUCAAUCUUCAAAACACCUCAAACAACAUCAAAUCAACCAAAACUCAUCGGAUUCAAGCCUAAGUUUCCAAAAUCUUCCGAAUUCCGCUUUUNNNNNNNNNNNNNNNNNNNNNNNNNNNNNNNNNNNNNNNNNNNNNNNNNNNNNNNNNNNNNNNNNNNNNNNNNNNNNNNNNNNNNNNNNNNNNNNNNNNNNNNNNNNNNNNNNNNNNNNNNNNNNNNNNNNNNNNNNNNNNNNNNNNNNNNNNNNNNNNNNNNNNNNNNNNNNNNNNNNNNNNNNNNNNNNNNNNNNNNNNNNNNNNNNNNNNNNNNNNNNNNNNNNNNNNNNNNNNNNNNNNNNNNNNNNNNNNNNNNNNNNNNNNNNNNNNNNNNNNNNNNNNNNNNNNNNNNNNNNNNNNNNNNNNNNNNNNNNNNNNNNNNNNNNNNNNNNNNNNNNNNNNNNNNNNNNNNNNNNNNNNNNNNNAACACAUUCUGAUCACGCUUCUAAGUCCCAAAUCACCUCUCGAAGCAAUCCUAAUCAUCGGAAUUCACAUCCUAGACCUCUAACACAUAAGCCAACAUCCAAUUGACUUUUCCAACUUAAACUUCUUCAAAAGAUACCGGUGUCUCAAACCUUCUCAAAACCUUUCCGAACCCGAGCCAACCAACCCGAUCACUCAUAGAACCAAUAGACAAAGCAAUUAGAAGCAGAAAUGGGGGAAACAGAGCAGUAACUCAUGAUACAACUGGCCGACUUUUCACAUCCUCCCCAACUUAAAUAAACAUUCGUCCUCGAAUGAGUCAAGAAACAUACCUGAAGCUGCAAACAGGUGAGGAUAUCUGCUUCGCAUCUCCCUUUAGGUCUCCCAGGCAGCCUCCUUCACGGUCCGACCUCUCCACUGCACUUUCAUUGAAGCUAUAUCUUUUCACCUCAACUUUCGAACCUGACGACCCAAAAUAGCUACUAGCUCCACAUCAUAGGUUAAAUCACCAUCCAACUGAACCGUGCUGAAAUCCAGAACAUGAGACGGAUCCCUAAUAUACUUCCGAAGCAUGGAAACAUGAAAUACUGGAUGCACACUCGACAAGCUGGGUGGCAAAGCAAGCUCAUAUGACACCUCCCCAAUCCUCGAAAGCACCUCAAAAGGCCCAAUGAACCGAGGACUCUAUUUACCUUUCUUCCCAAAUCUCAUAACACCCUUCAUGGGUGAAACCUUCAACAGAUCCUUCUCACCAACCAUGACGGAUACAUCCCGAACCUUCCUGUCAGCAUAACUCGAAUAUACUGUACAAAGUCUCGAAUGUGCUGUACAAAGUCUCUCCUAAAUCACCUUCACCUUGUCUAAAGCAUCCUGCACCAAGUCUGUCCCCAAUAGCCUAGCCCCACCUGGCUCAAACCAACCAAUGGGAGAUCUAUACUGCCUCCCAUACAACGNNNNNNNNNNNNNNNNNNNNNNNNNCCUCAUAUGGAGCCAUCUAAAUACUCGACUGGUAGUUGUUGUUAUAAGCAAACUCUGCAAGCGGCAGAAAAUGAUCCCAUGACCCUCCAAAAUCAAUGACACAAGCACGCAACAUGUCCUCCAAUAUGUGAAUAGUGUGCUCAGACUGCUCGUCCGUAUGAGGGUGAAAAGUUGUGCUCAACUCAACCUGAGUACCCAACUCUCGUUGCACAGACCUCCAAAACUGUGAAGUAAACUGACUGCCCCUAUCUGAAAUGAUGGAAACUGGGACACCAUGCAAACGAACAAUUUUCCGGAUAUAGAUCUCUGCCAACCGCUCUGAAGAAAAGGUAGUACACACAGUAAUGAAGUGCGCGGACUUGGUCAGCCAAUCCACAAUCACCCAAAUAGCAUCGAACUUCUUCAAAGUCCAUGGAAGUCCAACUACAAAACCCAUAGUGAUCCUCUCCCACUUCCACUCUGGAAUAUCCAUCCGCUGAAGCAAGCUACCCGGUUUCUGAUGCUCAUAUUUCACCUACUGACAAUUGAGACACCGAGCUGCAAAUCCCACAAUGUCUUUCUUCAUUCUCCUCCACCAAUAAUAUUAUCUCAGAUCCCGAUACAUCUUCACGACAUAUGAAUGAAUGGAAUACCGCGAGCUAUGGGCUUCUUCCAAAAUCAACUCCCGAAGCCCAUCUACAUUUUGCACACAUAUCCGACCCUGCAUCCUCAACACCCCAUCAUCGCCAAUAGUCACAUCUGUGGUAUCAUCGUGCUGAACUCUAUCCUUAAGGACAAGCAAAUAUGGAUCAUCAUACUAGCGCUCUCAGAUGCGAUCAUAUAAGGAAGACCGAGAAAUCGCACAAGCCAAUACCCGACUGGGCUCCAAAAUAUCCAACCUCACGAACCGUUGGCCAAGGCCUGAACAUCAACUGCAAGAGGUCUCUCCCCCACUAGAAUAUAUGCCAAGCUUCCCAUACUUACCGUCUUUCGGCUCAAAGCAUCGACCACCAUAUUGGCCUUCCACGGAUGGUACAAUAUAGUAAUAUCAUAAUCCUUUAGCAACUCCAACCAUCUCCGCUACCUCAAAUUGAGAUCCUUUUGCUUGAACAAGUGCUGGAGGCUACGAUGAUCAGUAAACACCUCACAAGACACACCAUACAAGUAAUGCCUCCAAAUCUUCAAUGUGUGAACUAUGGCAGCCAACUCCAAAUUAUGAACGGGGUAGUUCUUCUCAUGGGGUUUCAACUAAUGAGAAUCAUAAGCAAUAACUCUACCCUCCUACAUCAACACACACCCAAUACCAACUCUCGAAGCACCACAAUACACGGUAUAUGAACCUGAAGCUGGUGGCAAAACUAACACUGUAGUUGAGGUCAAGGUUGUCUUGAGCUUCUGAAAGCUCUCCUCACAUUCAUCUGACCACACAAAUGAAGCACCCUUUUGAGUCAACUUGGUCAAGGGCGAUGUGAUAGAUGAGAAACCCUAAACAAACUGGUAAUAAUAACCCUCCAAACCAAGAAAGCUAUGAAUCUCUAUGGCUGAGGACAGUCUAGGCCAACUCUAAACCGCUUCUAUCUUUUUCGGAUCAACUUGAAUACCCUUGGCGGACACCACAUGCACCAAGAAAGCCACUGAACUGAACCAAAACUCACACUUGGAGAAUUUUGCAUAAAGCUUCUCCUUCCUCAAUCUCUGCAACACAACUCUCAAAUGCUCCACGUGCUCCUCCUGACUACGCAAAUACACCAGAAUAUCAUCAAUGAAGACUACGACAGACAAGUCGAAAUAAGGCCAGAACACGUUGUUCAUCAAAUGCAUGAACGCUGUUGGGGCAUUGGUCAACCCAAAAGACAUCACCAAGAACUCAUAAUGACCAUAUCGGGUCCUAAAAGUUGUCUUAAGAAUAUUCGAGUCCCUGAUCUUCAACUAGUGAUAACUUGAACGGAGAUCAAUCUUGGAGAAUACUCUCGCUCCCUGAAGAUGGUCGAAUAAUCAUCAAUGCGAGGCAAAGGAUACUUUUUCUUAAUUGUUACUUUGUUCAAUUGCCUAUAAUCAAUGAACAUCCUCAUAGUUCCAUCCUUCUUCUUCACAAAUAGAACUAGUACACCCCAAGGUGACACAAUAGGCCGAAUGAACCCCUUAUCAAGGACUUCCUGAAGCUACUCCUUUAACUCCUUCAACUUCGUUGAUGCCAUACAAUAUAGUGGAAUAGAAAUGGGCUGAGUGCCCGGCACCAGAUCAAUACCAAAGUUAAUAUCCAUGUCUGAUGGCAUGCCCGGCAAGUCUGCAGGAAACACAUCGGGAAAAUCCCUUACAACUGGAACAGAAUCAAUACUAGGAGUCUCUGCACUGACAUCCCUCACAAAGGCUAGAUACGAAAGACAACCCUUCCCAACCAUAUGCUAGGCUUUCAAGAAUGAGAUCACUCUACUAACCUCGCCACUCAAUCUAUGGCACACUCGGUAUAGCCAAUGUGACUGUCUUGGCAUGACAAUCCAGAAUAGCACGACACGAAGAUAACCAAUCCAUGUCCAAAAUGACAUCGAAAUCCACCAUACACAAUAAUAAAAGAUCCACUCGGAUCUCCAGACCCCCAAUAGUCACCAUACACAACUGGUGCAUACAGUAUACAACAACAGUAUCGCCCACCGAGGUAGAUACAUGAACAGGUGAAGCAAGAGACUCACGGGGUGUACCCAAAUAACGAGAAAAGUAUGAUGACACAUAAAAAAAGGUGGAACCGGUAUCAAAUAAUACAGAGCCAUCUCUGUGACAGACUGAAACAAUACCUGAGAUAACAGCAUUGAAAGCAAUAACAUCGGGUCUAGCUGGAAGUGCAUAGAAACGGGCCUGACCGGAACUUGAUCGACCUCCCCCUCUAGGGCGACCCCUAGCUGACUGACCUCCACCCCUAGUUGACUGGGUGGGUGAUGAUGAAGUAACUGGUGCUGAAGCUGAUGACUGACCCCUCUGCUGAGAUGGACCCGCAAGACGACAAGGAUACUGCCUCCAUAUGCGACCCAUCUCUCCACACUCAUAGCAGCUCCCAGGUGUUGGAGAAGGGGACUGAAGGGAACCCCUAGCACCGGAAUGACUAGCUGAUGCACCUGGCAUAGAAGAGCCCUGAACCGAUGGAGCACGGGACAAACUCUAAGUUGGAAGGGCACUAAGUGAUAACUGUCCCUGAUGAGAACUGUGAGAACCAUGACCUAAUGACGCCCCACGAUAACUUGGGCAAGUUGGUUGAGCAUGCCUGAAUGGACGACCUCUGCUGUGCUGAAACUGGCAUCUCGAAGGAGCACCACUAUAACUACCAGAUCCUCGAGGCCUCUUGGCUUCCCUCUCCUCUCGCUCCUAGCAACGAACAGACUCAAUCUCACGAGCAAUGUCCAUAACCUCCUCGAAAGUAGCAUCAGUCACCCUCUCUCUGGUCAUGAGAAUAUGAAGCUAAUAAGUGAGGCCAUCAACAAACAUCCUUAUCCUCUCUCUAUCUAUCGGAAGCAACCAAAUCGCAUGAAGAGCUUACUCUGAGAACCUCAUUUCAUAUAGCAUCACAGUCAUCUCUCCCUAAUGCAACCACUCAAACUGCCGGUGUUGCUCCUCUCUACAAGACUGCAGAACAUACUUCUCAGUUCUCAGAACUAUUGCCAGGUAAGGGGUGCUGCACCAAUAGGCCUACGCCUCUCAAAUGCCUCCCACCAAGUGAAAGCAGCUCCAUAAAACUGAUAAGUAGUGAAAGCGACCCCACUGGUCUCCAGAAUACCCGUUGUAUGAAGCAUCCUCUGACACUUAUCUAAGAAACCCUAGGCAUUCUCGCCCUCUGCACCACUAAAGGUCAGAGGCUGAAGUCUACCAAACCUCUCCAACCUACGCUGCUCGUCCUCUUGUAUGGCAAGAACUACAUAGUCCUGAGCAGCUGCAACCGGCUGGACUAGAUGUGCCCCCGGCAUCUGAAGUCCCUGCAUGACCUGCUCAGGUGUGCGAGUGGUGGGAGUCUAAUUGCCUCCCCUGGCCUGAGAAGUAGUUGCGGCUGUAGUGACUGAAACCGCCUGAGCUAGGCCCGUGCAAACUGAUAAGAACUUAGCCAAGCCCUCCUGAAGACCCGGAAUCACAAUGGGCACAACUAGUGCCUGAGCUGGUGCUGUUGAAGUGUCCACAACUGGGAACUGAUCCUGAACUGGGGCGGCUGGAGGAUCUGCAAGUGCUGCCCUAGCUGCUGUGCGGGCCACACCUCUGCCCCAACCGCGACCACGACUGCAUCCUCGGCCUCUAGUGGCCACCACUGGUGGUACUGGUGGUCGUCUAUCCUGACUGGUAGCACGUGUCCUCACCAUUUGUGAGAGAAUAAAAUAACAGAUGUUUAGUACCCGGAUCAACCAAUUCGCACGACAAAAAAUUCAAGAAUAUGAAGUUUUUUCCUAAAGGUUCUGCAGCCUCUCGAGGAUAAAUACAGACAUCUCCGUACCGAUCCGCAAGACUCUACUAAACCUGCUCAUGACUAGCGAAACCUAUGUAACCUAGGCUCAGAUACCAACUUGUCAUGACCCUAAACCCGGACUCGGUCGUGAUGGCGCCUCUCGUGAAGACAAGGCCAGCCGAUACUUUCCCAUUUCAGUUUUGAGUAGUUAAACAUUAAAAAUUAAGUCUAAAAAGUAAUAAAUAAUCCAAAAGUAAGUAGUGAACAUUAUAGUUUACAAAAAUAAAAACCAACACAGCCCGAUAUCGGGCUAUCACUAGUCAUGAGCAUCUAUCAAUUCUAGUACAAGUCUGAAAAGUCUACGAAACUAUUACAAACUCACUAAUAAGGGAAAAGAAAUGAGAUAAAAGGGGGGGGGGAGAAACACGGGACUGCAGACACCAAACAACUACCUCAUGAACUCUAAAAUCUGUCGGGAGCUCUCAACUCUUGCUAGCAGGAUCAGCAAUGCCUGAAUCUGCACACGGGGUGUAGAGAGUAAAGUGAGUACUCCAACUCAGUUAGUAAUAAUCAUAAAUAAAGACUGAAAGCAAGAAAUCACGUAAGGCACAUUAUAGGCUAUAAGGAAGUUGUAAAGAUGUGUAAAAUUACUGAGUUCAGUUUAAAACAUCAUAAAAUACCUUUUUAACAGUUAAGCAAGCAACUGACAAGCAAAUAGGAAAGAUAAACACAUAAAGGAUCGCCCCUCGGGCAAGAUCAUAGAACAACACCAGCCCCUCGGGCAAUCUCUCACAUCACACUAGGUACCCACACUCACUGAGUAUGUGCAAACUCCUAGAGGGGCCCCUUACGGCCCAAGUGCAAUAUCAAGCCAUCUCGUGGCAUCAUUACUAGGCUCUCGGCCUCAUAUCAACAAGCCACCUCGUGGUGUACAAAUCUCAGGCCCUCAGCCUGAUAAUAAUAAUCAGAUGUUCCUCACAACAUAGGCUAUCAGCCCUACUCAGUCAGAAUCUCAAAAGCCACUCGGGCAAUAGUAAAACAUGAUGCUCAGCCCAAAUUAUCAUUUGGAAUGUCAUUUAAGUGUUAAAGCAAAGUAAACAUGGCGGAGUUUUGGAAAUGGUAGAAUAUAGCAUGACUGAGUUCAAGUACAAAAUCAAAACAGUGAGGAAAUAUCAAUAAAAAUCCCCUAAGGGUUCAAAUAGUUGGAACGAAGCCCAAAUAUGGCGUUCAGCCCAAAACAUGAUGAUAGCAAAUAGUUUUCAGUCAAAUACGUGGUAAAAUAGUCAUUCGAAAUGGACUAAGUCACAAUCCCCAACAGUGCAUGACCCCACACUCGUCAUCUAGUAUGUGCGUCACCUCAAUAUAGCACAACAAUGUGCAAUCCGGGGUUUCAUACCCUCAGAACAUCAUUUACAAUUAUUACUCACCUCAAUCCGGUCCAAACUCUAGCCUGCGAUGCCUUUGCCCUUCGAAUUGUCCUCCACUCGUGUCGAAUCUAUCCAAAAUCAGAAUCACGACAUCAAAAUAUGCUAAGGGAACGAAUCCCAAGCGAAAAUAAUCAAUUUACAACUUAAAUCCCGAAAAUACCAAAACCCGACCCCCGGGCCCACGUCUCGAAAAUCGAUAAAAUUCACAUCAAUGGAUUCCUUAUCUCCCCACAAGUUUAUACAUAUCAAAAAGCACAAAAAUCCGACCACAAAUGGUCCCUCAAAUCCUCAAGUCUAGGUAUCCAAUACCAAGCCCUAGUUUCCCCAAUUUUUAACCCUUAAAUUCCAUUAAUUAUAGCUCUAAUCCGUGAGAUAAUACCAUAGGAACGAGUUUUAGAUCCAAAAUCCUUACCUCAAUGAAGUCUCUUUGAAAUCUCUCUUCAAAAUCGCCCAAAACUCGAGAAUUCGCGUUUAAAAUGGUGAAACCCUCUGAAAAUCACGGAGGAAGGAAUAUAUACAUUCUGACACAGGCAUUGUCGCACCUGCGGUCAAUCCACCGCAUCGACGGUACCGCUUUUGCGGUCCAAGAGCCGCUUAUGCAGUUAUUCACUUAUUCCCCAGCUUCCGCAUUUGCGAUGAACAGUCUGCACCUGCGCCACCACAGGUGCGGUCCCAUAACUGCUUCUGCGGUUCGUGCCAACAUCACCAUCUUCCACUUAUGCGACCAAUCUUCUGCAUUUGCGGCGUUGCACCUGCGGUCCCCAAUCCGCAUGUGCGGAAACAACAGAAGCAGCAAAAAUAUGCAGCUCCUCCAAACUCCCAAACUCUCCGUCAACCAUCCGAAAUCACGCCCGAGGCCCCUGGGACCUCAACCAAAAACAAAAACAUACCCCAUAACCUUAUUCAAACUUAUACCAAUCUUUAAAACACCUCAAACAACAUCAAAUCAACGAAAACUCAUUGGAUUCAAGCCUAAGUUUCCAAAAUCUUCUGAGUUCCGCUUUUGANNNNNNNNNNNNNNNNNNNNNNNNNNNNNNNNNNNNNNNNNNNNNNNNNNNNNNNNNNNNNNNNNNNNNNNNNNNNNNNNNNNNNNNNNNNNNNNNNNNNNNNNNNNNNNNNNNNNNNNNNNNNNNNNNNNNNNNNNNNNNNNNNNNNNNNNNNNNNNNNNNNNNNNNNNNNNNNNNNNNNNNNNNNNNNNNNNNNNNNNNNNNNNNNNNNNNNNNNNNNNNNNNNNNNNNNNNNNNNNNNNNNNNNNNNNNNNNNNNNNNNNNNNNNNNNNNNNNNNNNNNNNNNNNNNNNNNNNNNNNNNNNNNNNNNNNNNNNNNNNNNNNNNNNNNNNNNNNNNNNNNNNNNNNNNNNNNNNNNNNNNNNNNNNNNNNNNNNNNNNNNNNNNNNNNNNNNNNNNNNNNNNNNNNNNNNNNNNNNNNNNNNNNNNNNNNNNNNNNNNNNNNNNNNNNNNNNNNNNNNNNNNNNNNNNNNNNNNNNNNNNNNNNNNNNNNNNNNNNNNNNNNNNNNNNNNNNNNNNNNNNNNNNNNNNNNNNNNNNNNNNNNNNNNNNNNNNNNNNNNNNNNNNNNNNNNNNNNNNNNNNNNNNNNNNNNNNNNNNNNNNNNNNNNNNNNNNNNNNNNNNNNNNNNNNNNNNNNNNNNNNNNNNNNNNNNNNNNNNNNNNNNNNNNNNNNNNNNNNNNNNNNNNNNNNNNNNNNNNNNNNNNNNNNNNNNNNNNNNNNNNNNNNNNNNNNNNNNNNNNNNNNNNNNNNNNNNNNNNNACUAUUGCAACUCUCAGAAUUCCAUUCCGUCCCCUAUAUCAAAAUCUCACCUAUCAACCGGAAAACGCCAAAAAUCCAAUUUCGCCAAUUCAAGCCUAAAUCUACUCCGAACCUCCAAAAUACAUUCUGACCAUGCUCCUAAGUCCCAAAUCACCUCCCGAAGCUAUCCAAAUCAUCGGAAUUCACAUCCGAGCCCUUUAACACAUAUGUCAAUAUUCGGUUGACUUUUCCAACUUAAACUUCCUAAAAAGAGACUAAGUGUUUCAAAACCUUUCCGAAUUCGAGCCAGCCAACCCAAUCACUCAUAGAACCGAUAGACAAAGCAAUAAGAAGCAAAAAUGGGAGAAAUAAAGCGGUAACUCAUGAGACAACUGUCUGGGUCGUCACACGCAUAUACCAUUCCAUCCCAUGAUAAAUAUGAGAACUUCAUAAUCCACUCCGAGUCACAAGAAAGUACGUACUCAACUAGCCAAGAACUUUCCAUUUGAUCCUAUCUAGGAGAAAAUUACUAUACAUCACAUGCUCCUCACGCCAGUAGAAGAUAUACCUCUCCAACCGCUAGAACUGAAUCCUUCUAACCUAACCAAGCCACGCAGGUCAUCGAAACUCAAGAGCAUUGCCACGAAAUAAAUGUAGAAACCCAUUACCUCAUAAACACCCAAAGAACUAAUCAUACCCAUUACCAUGUCGAUCCAACCUACUACCAAGUUGUCCUAUCUAUCUGAGUUCCUUCUUAAUUGCAUUCACAUUGAUACUUCUCCUCGCUAUAAUACCUCAAUCCCCAACCCAUACUCACCAUACGAGACCCUAACAUAAACCACACUGCCCUAAGGAUCAUAAGCCGUUGAAUGCUCUCUUAAGCACCCCAAAAGUACCACAAUCGAAAUACCCACUCAGAAGCGACCUUCUGUGAAUUUCAAGUUGUUCAUCUUACUUUUAUGAUACUGAUAUGUAGAAUCCACAAUGACAUAGAAAUACUACAAGCCUCGACACCAUCCAAUGUAACUCUCAUCUUCUAACCACAUACAAACCCGCAAAAUUUCUCAAUUUUCACAUAUAAAUCUUGAAUUCAUUAGAAUCAUUCUCGAGAGUUAUCCACUCUGCUCAAAUAUCAAUUAGACUAAUCAAAUGGGUUGAUCGACCUGUGCCCCAUUAGCACUCUAGCACCCAAGGAUGUAACCCCACCUUAAUGCAACCAGAUAAAUUUUUGCUCCACACACAUUACAUCCUUCACCAAUAACAACUCAAAUCAUUUCAUGAUUCUCAUAUACUCAUAAAACCUAAUACAACUCGUAUUCGGAAAUUCUCUUUACUCGAGUCAUCCUUAAUCUCAACCUCUAAAACUCAUAACUGAUUCACCAGUAUACCUCAAACUGAAACUAAUACGACACUUAGCCAUGUAAUCAACUUAUCAAUAGCAAACUCCUCCACUUGGCUCAAAGCCAUAGAUCAAAACACAUAAAAACUCAUAUUGCUCAUACUCUAUUACUGUUAUAAUACCAUAGUGAGAUUAAACUAAACUCAUGAUUCUUGCAUUCACACUUGUAAUAGUCAAGCCCACUCUCAUAAGUGAUCCGAACUCAAGUUGCAAUACACAUAUUUCACUGGUAAAAGAGGACUUCCAACAAACAACAUAGGGAUCACACACCCUCAAGACACUCCACAGGAGAUAACCCACCUGCUUCGCCUCAAACUAACAUCUCUUCAUACCCUUCCACUGUGAUAAACAUCACGCAAUCACUUAAUCUUCCUGAGUUUGAACUCAUAUCAUGACAUGAAAUCUACUUCACUCCGUAACUAAACAACAUGAAAAGAUCCUUCAACACACCCAUAACUCGGGGCUAUUCAUCAAAUCAAGAUGGAAACAAGCACCAAAUAGUUCUUUCUACCCUCAAGAAGACCCUUCUCAUCACAUUCAAAUCAUAUGAACACAUCUCGCAAACACAUCAUACUCAUCACGUAGCCAUCCAGACAUCACUUCCUCUAAUAGGGACACUACCAAACAUAUAAAUCCAUAAGCAUGCACUCACAUAAUCAAAACCUCAGUGCUCAGCUACAGGCAAAGCCCAGCCUCAAGUCCUCCAGACUGGCCCAAUAUCAACACACAGAAAUCACAUCUCACCCCUUGUUCAGGGAAUCACAAGCCGUGGAUACACAUCUGAUUCUGAACUCUAGAAGGAAUUCAAAGAGUUACAUUUCAAGCUGAAUUAAUGUCGCACGAUAAGAAUUCAAGAAUGUGGGAUUUCUUAAAGGUUCUGCAGCCUCUCGAAGAUAAAUACAAACGUCUCUAUACCAAUCUGUGAGACUCUACUAAACCUGCUCAUGACUCAUGAGACCUAUGUAACCUAGGCUAUGAUACCAACUUGUCACGAUCCAAAUUUACCAUGUCGUAAUGGCGCCUAUCGUGGUACUAGGCAAGCCGACACAUUACCAAAACCAAUCAAUAUUCUCAUUCUUAAGAUAAAUCAAAUCUAUUUAAGAAUAAACCCUCAUAAAAUGUUUAAAUCAAACAAUAGUGCAGAAAUAAAAGUCCGACAUCGGGGUGUCACUAGUCAUAAGCAUCUACUAAGAACUGUCCGAUAAUAAUAAGACUACUACAAUCUGGAAACCUACUAAUAACAUUUAUAGGAAGAUAAGAGGACGAAGAGCAGGGCUGCGAUCGCCAUGCAACUACCUUGCUAACUCCAACAGAUCUGCGACGGAUGAAAAUCACGUCCAGCAUCCCCUGGAUCUGCACACAAGGUGUAGGGAGUAAUGUGAGUACGAGCAAUAAAAUAUAUACAGUUCAUAUCAUGAAAUCUCAGUAGAAUAUAGCAGGCUUUUAAACAGGAUUUUCAACUCAGCUCAUUUAAACCCAAUUUCAGUAAAACCAUUUAAAACAUCUUUCAACAGUUUCAAACGAAGUGAUAAAACAGUGAGUAAAAAUGAUGAAAACAUAAUCAGCCCCUCGGGCAAAAGUCACUCGUAUACAUCCCCUUGGGCAACAUAAAUUAUAAAUAGCCCCUCGGACAAGCAUCACUCGUAUAUAGCUCCUCGUUCAAUCAUGAAUCAUAAAUUUCCCCUCGGGAAAACAUCACUGUCACUCAUAUACAACCCCUCGGGAAUAACUCACAAUCACUCGUAAACAGCCCCUCGGGCAUAAGAUAAAUCAAGAACAACCCCUCAGACAAAACAUCAUAUCACUCACUCAGGGUACCCGCGCUCACUAUGGGUGUACAGACUUCGGAGGGGCUCUUACUACCCAAGCGCUAUAAUAAGCCACCUCGCGCAUAAAUCAAUCAGGAUCUCGGCCUCAUAAUAAGCCACCUCAUGGCAUAAAUCAAUCAAGCCCUCAUCCUCACAAAAUCAUGAAUCAGUAAAAACAUACUGCGACAUGCAACCCGAUCCCAUAAAUAUCCUCACAAAAUAGGCCCUCGGCCUCACUUAGUCAUAAACCUCUCAUGUCACUCCAGCUAUCAAUAAAAUAGGGUGCUCAGCACAAAAUAACAUUUUAUGCAUCAAAACGGAGUAAUAAAGAUUUAGUCAUUAAAUCAGUAAGUAUAAUAUGGGUGAGUGUAGAUUUUCAAUCAAAAACAUUGAGAGGAUAGUAAAGGCCCCUAAUGGUCCAAACAGCUCUGGCACAAGGCUCAAACAUGGCAUUCAGCCCAAUUUACAGAAACUCUUUCCAAAAUACAUAAGUAUCAUAUAGUUUCAACCAAAUACGCAACUUAUAGUUUCUAUGGGACGGAUCAAGUCACAAUCCCCAACAGUGCAUGCCUACACGCCCGUCACCUAGCAUGUGUGUCACCUCAAAGUAGUAAAACAAUGUGAAAUUCGGGGUUUCAUACCAUCAGGACUAGAUUUACAAUCAUUACUUACCUCAUACAAGCCAAUUCCAAUACCGAGCAAGCAAGCGAUGCUCCAAAAAAUCCAUCUCGCGCAUUCCGACCUCUGAACGGCUCAAAACUAACCAAAAACAACUCACAUACAUCAAACAACGCUAAAUCAACCAAUCCCAAUAGAAAAAGGUCAAAUCUUUAAUUAAAAGCCCAAAAUCGGCAAAAAAGUCCAACCCGGGUCCGCAUCUUGGAACUCUACAAAACACAUAUAAUCCGAUAACUCAUUCAAUUAUGAGUCCAACCAUACUAGUUUCAUCUAAUUCCAACUCCGAAUCGAUGCUUAAAACUUAAAAUUUCACUUUAUGAAACAUUAGGCAAAAACCCCCAAAUUUCACGUUGAAAUCAUCAAUCAAAUGCCAAAAAUAACGACGGAAUCAUGAAAUAAAACAAAAAUCGAUUAAAGAAUACAUACCCAAUACAUAUGGUGAAAAUCACCUCCAAAAUUGCCCAAAUCCGAGCUCCCCAACUCAAAAUAUGACCAAAUGAACAAACUCUUGUUUUAUAUAUUUUUCUGCCAGCUAUUCUGCCUCGUUUCUCGUGCAAAACAAUCCCAAAACUCGCUUUUGAUUUCUCCCAUGGAUUUCUUGUAAAAUUUUAGUCAAGUUAGGCUCUUGAAUUUCUUUAAUUGACCUUAUAUUAAAGGAGAUAUGUUGGUUUUAAUAUUUGAAAAUAGUGCAGAUUUUUAAACACGAAUUCAGUUGCAAUUUCAUAAUUAAUCUGAAAUAAAUCUGGCAAUCCAAUUCUUAGUAAAAUGACCAUAAAUUCCUCAUACGAUAUAAAAAUUCGAUAAUUCAUUAUGGUAUGGCUCUGUAAUUAUGAUACGGAUCUAAUGCUUCAAUAAAAAUAGAAAUCGAAGCUCAUUUGCUUAAUGUAGUACCAUUUAUGCUAGAAAAACGAUGUCGAAACAUCAAAAACUAGCGCAACAGAACUCAAACCUAUCCGAAACUCACCUGAGCCCCUUGGGACCCAGUUCGAACAUACGAACAAGUCCCGUAUCAUAACACAGACCAACUUGAAGCCUCAAAACAACAUAACAACAUCAAAACGAUGAAUCACACCUCAAUUCGAAAUCAAUGAACUUUAAACUUCCACAACCGAUGCCGAAACCUAUCAAAUCAUGUCCGAUUGACUUCAAAUUUGCACAUAAGUCUCAUUUGACAUUAUGAACCAUCCCCAACUUCUGAAAUCGGAAUCUGACCCCAAUAUCAAAAGUCCACUCCCGGUCAAACUUUCCAAAAUUUCAACUUUCGCUAUUUCAAGCCAAAUUCUACUACAUACCUCCAAAUCAUAAUUCGAAUGCGCUCCCAAAUCCAAAAUCACCCAACGAAGCUAACGAAACCAUCAUAAAUCCAAUCUGAUAUCAAAUUUGUUUACCGUGAAAAUGGUAACAAUAAUUAAAUUUGUAAAUGGGAUUCUAAAAAUACGUGAUCUAUUCCCAAGCUAGUUGUUAGAGCAGUUGAUGCUAAGAACGUGAAACUUAACGAUGAAAUUCGAGCUAAAACAAGACAGUAAUCAAACCGAAUGGGCCUGUUGCCCGGAUGCAAAGCCGGUCGAUAAGGACCUCGGGGUCGGGACUCAAAUCGAGCUCGAGCUAUCGGGGGCAACCCGGAAUAGGAUAACAAUUAUGGAUACGAUCAAGCAAGGCUCUUUACGGCCAAAGUUGCGCAAUAUAGCAUGAAAUAGGUAAGAAUACAAUAAAUGUUAAAGCGGCCUCGAGCCAGUCAGAACGAACAAAAUAGGAGAAAGAGAGAGAGAGAUAUUAUUACUUUUGUGAAGAAAUGGAGCAACAUCAGCCAUUUACAAAGUGGUAUGGGUUCCCCUUAUAUAAGCGAGGGAACACGGUAUGGUACAAAUAUGUGGAGAUUAAACACAAAGUACGGAGUUGGGAUAGUUUGACGUGAUGCCUCAACAUAGGCUCUGGAUAGGUGGGGCCUGUCAGACGUAGCCAUGUGCCUUGGGGGCUUCCCCCUCCGUCCUGGCUUUGGUCUUUGUUUCCUCCGAUUCGGGCUCUGACAAGCCCCGAGGUCAAGAACUUGGUCGUAGCCUCCCGCCCUCGGGGUCCCAAGGCAUGCUUCCGAAAUGUCCUGACAGCGAGAAAUCAAGUCUUUUGCUUUGUCGCAUACAGAUAGUCUCCAUGUUUCCCAUAAUGAAGAGAUGGGAAAUGAUUAUGACACUAGACUCCUCGAGCUUCUUUCAGCGACGACACAUCGAUGAUGCGACUCCUGGCCUGAGCUUCGCGGUGAUUGGACAUCCACGUGCCCGUGCUUUUCAACUUCAUUCAUUACGCUCCUGAUUCUCAUUUUUCAAUGUGAAGGUACCGCCGUUGGUUCGAUUUUCCAUGGAUGCAUUAACUACGCCCGUCGGUCAAUCUUCCAAAGCCUAGAUGACCGUGUCGUAAUCUCCUAUAAAUGGGGUGCCUUGGCUUUGCUCUUCCCAUCUUAGUGAAUCCAUUGGCUCGCUUGCCUUUCCCUUUCCAUCAUCUUCUUUCACCUCUGAACAUCAAGCUGGCCCGAGUCAAUGGGGGACGGGGAGUCGGUUUCUCCUUUAUGCAGAUAGCCAUUUAGAUUGUGCACCGCUCCUCAAAAGGGGGCUCGGAUUAUACACCGUCGCUCACCUUCAUACCCCGGCUCGACGUGGUGCUCUGCUUCGAGUUGGGGGCUUGCAUGGCUAGACAUUCCAAGAAGUGGAUUCAAAGUAGCCGUGCAAGUGGGACUGAGGAUUGUUCGGUCCGUUGUCUCUCUGAGGCUUCUUUCGCCAAAAAGGGUCCUCGAGCUUCGGAGAGUUAUGGAAUUUUUUCAUCCCUCCCUGCUACUCACCUUGUCCCCAGGGGAUGUCAGUGUGGAAAGUUGGGAUAAAACUCCCGAGGGGGUGUGUCCGGAGGUGCCUGUUGUGAACUUUCAAAGGUGGAACGGUCUUCGGGCUUUCACCUUGCGUGUGCAUCCCUUUGUCUCUUCCUUUAGGCAUAGACUCCUGUAGACUUUUGCAAUUUGUAUGUAACGACCCCUCGAGGGCUGAUUAUAUACAAAAUUUUAUGAAUAAGAAUAUACCCCGUUGAUUUCUGCUUUCCUUACUUCUAUAUGCUUUUGUACCCUCUGAAGCCCUUUGGAUGCUUUCUUUUGUUUGUUGGCCGCUGAUAUCAGGCUUGGGCGCGGGCGUCCGUCCCUGUCUUCUGCUGAUCGACAUGGCUCUCUUCCGAACCCAUCAUCGUACUUCGGACCAAUCUUGGAUCGAUCUGAUAGGUCCGGGCUAUCGAGAACCUCCGAGUUGUAUGGAGAUCAUGCGUCGAAUUCUAGGGCCUUCAGGAAUGCUACCCUGGAUGAAGGUCAUCUUUGGGUAUCCAGGGGUCCCUAUUGAUCUUGAUGUAGAUAGCCCCUUUAGAAUGUAUAGGAUAGACUUCUGCUAAGGCGUUUGCCUGUAUUCAGACGCUUCCUCGGACCUUCAUGGAGCUUUCGCGAUCGGAGCUUCCUUUAUUUAUUCCUCUUUUCAGAAAGAGGGGAUCGUGAGACCAGGUACUUGCCUUGCAUCAAAUGUUGGCGUUUAAGGCUUCUCGAAGUCCAACUUCUUUGGGUCGGGGGUUCUUGACGUAGAGUGCUAUCUUAAGCUCGGAGAUAAUACGAACAGCCCCUUAAGUCUUGACUUCUCGUCAAAGGAUGCUUUCUGGAUCGGGUAUUGACCCGUCAAUCUGUAUCGAGGUUGUUGGCUUCCCAGGGCUUGCCUCAGGCAGGCAAGUCGUCACUGCUUCUCGCAUAUAUGUGGGGUGGCUUUGGCUUUUUUGCAAGACUUACUAUUUUUAGACAGCCACCUUUCUACUUUGGCACGGGGUACUUCAUCUCUUCAGGCACAAAAAGUGUUGGUGUGCGCCCUUGCUUUGACAUGUUAGUUUCACCAUAGUCAUGAAAACCAUUUCGGGGCCGAUCCGACAGGGGACAGGGGGUGUUGCUCCUGGUGCUGAGGAACUGAGGGAGUUCGCUCUGGAGACGGCGUCCUUGAUUAGAGAGGAACACCUAGAGAUGGAGAGGACAUACAGCGGGUGGAGAGAGGGGAUAACACUACAGGUGCCUUCCCCAGAUGAGGGCAUUGUGGACUCCACCGAUGGAUUCUUGAGCGUAUACCUAUACCCUUUCGCAUUUGGCCCCCCUAAUAGGGUUGUGCUUGAUUUUUGCUUGAAGUAUCGGGUUACCCUGGCACAUAUUCAUCCGUCAUUUUGGCGAACGGCGUUGAUGAUGAGGUUCUUCGUGGAGAAGGUCGGGCUUGAAUUCACGCUUGAUCACCUUGUCAGGCUAUAUCGGCCCUUCCAUCAUCGAGGCAUGCUAACUCUGAGGUGACAUUUGUCUACACCCUUUGUUAUUGAUGAUGAGGAAAGCGGGGAUCGAGAGUGGGCCAUUUGGUUUAUCCGGAUUCGAAUGACCGACAUUAUCCCUAUGGAGUUUUUGCCAUUUCCUGAAGGGUGGAAUUAUGCACGUCAGUGAGGAGUUUGGUGCUUUUUCAGGUUUCGCCUAUAGCGAAAAUCAGUUGAGUAAUAAUGUUGUCUCCCCUGUUGCAUCAACUUCGUGGAUGCCAGGUGAAGUCCAUGAUCUGCCUGGCUGGGUCCGGAAACUGGUGACCCAUUCAUUCUGCGACGAGCGCAGGUAGCAAGCCGUACUUCGUACUGGAUGGGGAGCGCAAUACCAAGGUAUGUGCG
RNAcentral lists this long non-coding RNA (65695 nucleotides) under Nicotiana tabacum (common tobacco). Its description in RNAcentral is "long non-coding RNA (NTAB_LNC001994)". The record is from RNAcentral. Lineage: Eukaryota; Viridiplantae; Streptophyta; Magnoliopsida; Solanales; Solanaceae.